RNAcentral lists this long non-coding RNA (66001 nucleotides) under Ananas comosus (pineapple). RNAcentral describes it as "long non-coding RNA (ACOM_LNC003493)". The record is from RNAcentral. Lineage: Eukaryota; Viridiplantae; Streptophyta; Magnoliopsida; Poales; Bromeliaceae.
AAAUGGAAACCAGGGAUAGGGCAGUCCUAAUUCCUGUUUAGUAUUAUUGUAUUCAUUCAACCUAGGGAAGGAUUUGAAUCACUAAUUUGGAUUGUUAAAGCUCUCAAGUGCCAUGAGAAUCUACAAACCAUGCUAAGUUGAUAGCAUGUGAAACUUAAGUGCUAAUUCUAUGAUGAGUUAGAGUAAUUAUUUAUCAAAAGGAAGCUUGAAUUAGAGGUCAUGAAUAUUGUGUAAUCACCUUCUAAAGAGACCUAAAUUGCAAGUUUAAGUAUUAGGGCUCUUAAUACCAUGAAAAGGCUUAAGGGAAUUGGUGCUGGCAGCUUAUAUGUAUAUGCAUGUAUCUAUCUAUAUGUUUAUGAAUAGUAUGUAUAUAAGCUGUAACUAAUAGUGAAAUCAGGGAUGAAUUGAUUCAAUUCCCUGGUUUAAAUGAUGUUCCCUGCUGUGUUAAGGAGUUGAUAAAGGAUUGCUAUGAGCUGAAUUACUUACCUUAGAAAUGAUGUUUAUAUGGACUUAUUGUAGCCAUAAGUAGCAGCCUGGAUGCUUCCAGACUUGUAGAGGUGGCCGAACAGCAACCUGAUGCUAUUGGUGCUGAGGAAAAAUUAGUUGGAGUUGUAGGGAAGGUGGCAAAGCUGAGAGUAAUCCAAGAGGACAGCAAUGUAAGCUAAGUUAAUAACUUAGUGUGACUAACUUAAUUGCUCAGAAUUAAUCCAUAAAAGGAUUCAUUAUUGCUGAAAAUUGAGAGUUGAAAUUGAUGUUGUUGGGGCUGCCAAAUCGAAGGAUUCAGCUGAAAGAGAGUUGGGCCUAUUGGAGCUGUUGAUUCAGGAGGCCAGCUAAAACGAAACUCUAGAAAGUUAAGAGCAACCUAGAGAAGCCGAGGUGCUGAAAUUUCUGCAUUGCGCAGAAUUUCAGCAUAGAUUACUUGCUAUUGGAGUUGGAAAAGAGAACUUAGUGAAGCUUCAAAUUGGGUAAGUGAAUAGUUCUUCUCUGAGUUGAGUGAUAGGAGUUACUCUAAAGAGGUUAUAAGUACUUGAAUUAGUUAAUUGGAAUUGGUAUAGGGGCUGCGAAGAGGAAGUAAAGUGCAGAAAAUUCAGCAUGGUGCUGAAAUUUCAGCAUAAGUGCAGAAAUUUCAGCAUUAGAAAUUCCUGCUGUGGAGCUGAGAACGAACUAAUUGAGCAGCGAACUACGGUAAAUAUGAUUGUAUCAUGAUUAGGAAUCAGUUAAUUGUAAUAGAGGGAUGUUAAUUAAGAGUUCUAUGGGUAUUUGAGUUAAUGAAAACUCAAACCUGCAUUGAGGAGUUACUAGUUUGAACCUUAUAAAACUAGCUUACACUCUAUACAUGUACAUACUAGGAAUGAUCAGUAAAGAGAAAAUUGGGAUUAAAUUAGCUUUAAAUUUUGAGCUAAUGGAAAGGCAAAACUGCAUUGCUAAAUUCCUAAUUAAACUCUAUAAAGUUAGCUCACACUAUACAUAGCAUGUAUGUAUAUACAUAUGGAUGUCUAUGGAUAUAAUGUCAAAAUGGAAGACUGAAUUAAGUAGUUUAAAUUCUGAAUUAGAGUAAGAAUAAUGGCUGUAGAGAAAUGGAUUUGGGAGGCUAUUAAGGUCUCUACAUAAUAUGAAAUGUAUAGAACUAACUAUAGGUAUGUACAUAGUGAUACUAUACAUACUAGUUGGGGUUAAAUGCAAAGUUUGUAAAGAUACACAUGUGACUCAAGUUUAACCUCUUUUAUUCCUUUAGGAAGGAAGGGUAAGCGUGCUCGGAAGUUCGAAUUGACAUUUCGACGGACCUACGACGCGGUAAUUAAGAAACGCUUCGUUCUAGCUUUACUUGCAUCGAGUCGCGUGGACUAAUGUUUGUACGGUUCGUGACGUUGGUUCUAGUCUUCGACAUCCCUACAGGUGGGUGGUGCUAUCCGAAGUCUUUGAAUCACCUUUUAUGUCUAUGUUAUUCAUUGAGCAUAUUUACUUCUGUUUUUCAUGCAUUAUAGGGUAUGGGCAUUGGUAUUAUGCAAGUGAUAGUGAAUGUGUGAAUUCUUAUUGAUAGUGAGAACAUAUGAACAUAGAAUGUGGACAUAGAAACCUAUGAAUGCAUGGACUAUAACAAUAGUGAACUUGGUGACAUAUGACUAGAGAUUUGGUUAGCAUCGACAUUGGAAUUAUAAAACUAGCAUAAAGAGCUAGUUAGAGUAAAGUGUGACAGUGUUUGUCAGUUAAAUCCUCUAAAGGGGGAUCAGAUCAUACUCACAUUUGUUUGGUUCAAGUGAGGUCGCUCCUCCUUGAACGAUGAGCUCCGGAGUAGUCAUCUUUACUGGACCAGGAGGUUGCGUCUCCCCCAGUUGACAGUCCCGUCGGGUGCAGGUUGCGUCUCCCCGAUAUUUGGGAUAGUGUCAGUGAGUUAAUGUUAACCAGAGGGUUAACCAAAAGAUUGGGUAAAGAUAAUGAAAAGCAUGCAUGCAUAUUUACAGUUUUCAUAUACAUCGUUUCUUUCAGCUUGUACAGGCAUUGUAGUAGUUACAUAUUAUAGUCGGUUACUAUCNAAAACCGAGUGAUGAGAAUAGGCUUCCUUGCAGGACUUUCGCCUGAUUUGAGUUGGGUUGACGAUAGUUGUUUCGUGUUUGAUCUUGAAGGUCAAGAAUUGGUCACGUUGUUACGCGUUUAGUGGUUUAGUGUAGUUGAUCUCUAAUAAGAUCGAUAUGAUUCGGGAUGAGUGGAAUCCUUGAAUUGACCGGGCUUGAAGGAAACUUGAAGCUUUGGGAUCAGUUAGUCACACCGUGGUGGCGUCGUGGUGUUGUAUAGUCAUAGUUCAAUGUCAGCGAUAGGCUAUAGUGUAUUUGGUGGAUUGAGUCAAUGGACUCUAGAAGGCUGUGAAGUAGUUGGAUAAUCCUUGUGGCCUUCAGGAAAGUUUAGUCCAUCUGUUUUGGAUAAAGGAAUGUUCGCGGGUCAAGAAUCUGUCGUUUGGCUUCAGAAAAAUUUUUCCCUGGAAGGAUUUGUGUAUUGAGGACAGGAUAUAGAGUUUGUUGUUGGAAUAAACGACAGGUGACCUUUUAGAUAAGUUGAGAAACUAUAGCAGAGUGACUGCUUAGUGAAAGAGUAUGUAGAGAGAUUUUUCUGCACGCUGAAGUGUGUUGAGCAUACGUUGUGAGAUAUUGGAGACAAGGCCGAUUACGAGGUGUGGAAGCUUCGAUAGAGGAUGUGUCAAAGUUAUACGCAGUCCUAAUCUAUGAACUUCUGAUGAAGUAUUGAACUGAAUCGUAUGGCUGAGGUCAGGUGAUAUUCGCGCGGAAGGAGCACGAAUGGAUUAGUAAAGAAUGGGGGAUGAACGAUUGAUGUAUGGUUCGGGUGGUCCAUCGAGUGUUAAGCGACACCGGAAGAGAGUUACAGUCUUCAUCCUAGAAUUCGAAAAGGUCUGUCGACUAACUUUUUUUUCAAGAGGAGUGGUUGUGGUAAUCUUCACCGGCAAGGCCGCGUGUAUUAUCGGAUAAGUGAAAUGGUAGUAAAAUGACUUCAGUAGGAAGAUUGUAUACUUGGGAAUGAUGUGAACUCCGAAUAGUAUUUACAAGAGUGUGAUAGAGCCUUGGAUUUAACACUAGCACGCAAGGAUGAAGAAAAAUGUAUCGUCUAUUGUAGAAUAGACGGUUGGAUAAUGCUAGUGGGUAAUUAUAGUAAGCCAAUAUUGGGGCUUGAGAUAAAGAUGGGAAUGGUGAACCUAAAUAGUAACUAUAGUGAGCCACUGUUGGGGCUUGGGAUAAAGAAUGAAUGAUGAACUUGUUUUUUAAAGCAUUCGGAUUGUAAUGAGAAUUAAAUUGAAACGUUAGAAGACGCUUCUAGAGUUCGAAAAUUCGGAUGAUAUUCCAAGAGACUGUGUAAUGGUAAUAGCGUCAUUGUGGUAGAACGGUUAGAUGAUCACCUGGUUUUGGCGAGUUAGUUGAGUUGUACCUCAAAUAAGUUGAGGGAAUUUGUGUUUACAUAUAUGAGGCAUAGGCCGAGUUGCCUAGUGGGUGAUAUCUAAUGAGAGAUGAGAUAGUGUAGGACACUUGAGUUUAGUUGUCCGUAGAGUGUGGAUUGUGGCUCAGCCAAGAGAGUGUGUUGGCAGUAGCACGUGAGCGUUGCUAGGUGUGAAGCGUGCCAUGGAUCACUCGCGGGGCUAGUAGCUCGCACUAAGUACUUAGGAGCCGAUAGUAAUGUGGAUUGCUCGAUAGAACAUGUCGUGUGUGACGACCGUUGAGGAUAUAGCUUGAGGACGAUCCGUGCCUGGACCAUGUGUGGACCUUGGAGCCUGAGGCUAUUCGAGUAAGCAUAGUCGGCUGUGUGCGACAGCGGCCCGAUACCUAUUGGUGGGCAGAGAUUUGGUCAGGACGGUAGUCCGAGCUUAGACUGGUAACGUGGCAUACCACGUAUUGGACCGUGUGAUUAGUGGUACACCGAGAGUGUGAAUUUGACCCAACCCUAAAAUUCGAAAUGGUUUGGGAUUUGGAUUACUCCUGAUUGGAGUAAAUGUGCGAGGUUUCAAAUGAGGACUUUGCCUCGUGAUGAUUGGGUCUGCGCUUGCGAGCGAGACACGUUAAGUGAUAUCGUAAUCAAGUUAGGCGGUAGGCCUAGAUUGGAUUAGGGGUUAUGGACCAGUUUGUGGUAAUCGAGAUAAAUGGUCGAGCCGAUUAUUCUCGAAAUACGAGGGUUAGUGUAGUGUUGUGAAUCGGGGGUAGUGACCUUGGGAGCAAAGGCUCGGUCCUACUGUUUGCCUGUUUUGAAUCGCCGAGUUAGGCGCUGAUGAGGAGUUAAGAUUAGAGGCACGAACAAAAGUGUUCAUGGAGACUCGUUGCGAGAGAUUGGUAUAAUGCGAACGUGGCCGGAAAAGUAAAAGAUUUUCUUUGAGAUCAUUGUGUAGUGGAAGCCACGUGAGAUUUUGGAGGAUUAUGCCUUCAAAUCAUUNNNNNNNNNNNNNNNNNNNNNNNNNNNNNNNNNNNNNNNNNNNNNNNNNNNNNNNNNNNNNNNNNNNNNNNNNNNNNNNNNNNNNNNNNNNNNNNNNNNNNNNNNNNNNNNNNNNNNNNNNNNNNNNNNNNNNNNNNNNNNNNNNNNNNNNNNNNNNNNNNNNNNNNNNNNNNNNNNNNNNNNNNNNNNNNNNNNNNNNNNNNNNNNNNNNNNNNNNNNNNNNNNNNNNNNNNNNNNNNNNNNNNNNNNNNNNNNNNNNNNNNNNNNNNNNNNNNNNNNNNNNNNNNNNNNNNNNNNNNNNNNNNNNNNNNNNNNNNNNNNNNNNNNNNNNNNNNNNNNNNNNNNNNNNNNNNNNNNNNNNNNNNNNNNNNNNNNNNNNNNNNNNNNNNNNNNNNNNNNNNNNNNNNNNNNNNNNNNNNNNNNNNNNNNNNNNNNNNNNNNNNNNNNNNNNNNNNNNNNNNNNNNNNNNNNNNNNNNNNNNNNNNNNNNNNNNNNNNNNNNNNNNNNNNNNNNNNNNNNNNNNNNNNNNNNNNNNNNNNNNNNNNNNNNNNNNNNNNNNNNNNNNNNNNNNNNNNNNNNNNNNNNNNNNNNNNNNNNNNNNNNNNNNNNNNNNNNNNNNNNNNNNNNNNNNNNNNNNNNNNNNNNNNNNNNNNNNNNNNNNNNNNNNNNNNNNNNNNNNNNNNNNNNNNNNNNNNNNNNNNNNNNNNNNNNNNNNNNNNNNNNNNNNNNNNNNNNNNNNNNNNNNNNNNNNNNNNNNNNNNNNNNNNNNNNNNNNNNNNNNNNNNNNNNNNNNNNNNNNNNNNNNNNNNNNNNNNNNNNNNNNNNNNNNNNNNNNNNNNNNNNNNNNNNNNNNNNNNNNNNNNNNNNNNNNNNNNNNNNNNNNNNNNNNNNNNNNNNNNNNNNNNNNNNNNNNNNNNNNNNNNNNNNNNNNNNNNNNNNNNNNNNNNNNNNNNNNNNNNNNNNNNNNNNNNNNNNNNNNNNNNNNNNNNNNNNNNNNNNNNNNNNNNNNNNNNNNNNNNNNNNNNNNNNNNNNNNNNNNNNNNNNNNNNNNNNNNNNNNNNNNNNNNNNNNNNNNNNNNNNNNNNNNNNNNNNNNNNNNNNNNNNNNNNNNNNNNNNNNNNNNNNNNNNNNNNNNNNNNNNNNNNNNNNNNNNNNNNNNNNNNNNNNNNNNNNNNNNNNNNNNNNNNNNNNNNNNNNNNNNNNNNNNNNNNNNNNNNNNNNNNNNNNNNNNNNNNNNNNNNNNNNNNNNNNNNNNNNNNNNNNNNNNNNNNNNNNNNNNNNNNNNNNNNNNNNNNNNNNNNNNNNNNNNNNNNNNNNNNNNNNNNNNNNNNNNNNNNNNNNNNNNNNNNNNNNNNNNNNNNNNNNNNNNNNNNNNNNNNNNNNNNNNNNNNNNNNNNNNNNNNNNNNNNNNNNNNNNNNNNNNNNNNNNNNNNNNNNNNNNNNNNNNNNNNNNNNNNNNNNNNNNNNNNNNNNNNNNNNNNNNNNNNNNNNNNNNNNNNNNNNNNNNNNNNNNNNNNNNNNNNNNNNNNNNNNNNNNNNNNNNNNNNNNNNNNNNNNNNNNNNNNNNNNNNNNNNNNNNNNNNNNNNNNNNNNNNNNNNNNNNNNNNNNNNNNNNNNNNNNNNNNNNNNNNNNNNNNNNNNNNNNNNNNNNNNNNNNNNNNNNNNNNNNNNNNNNNNNNNNNNNNNNNNNNNNNNNNNNNNNNNNNNNNNNNNNNNNNNNNNNNNNNNNNNNNNNNNNNNNNNNNNNNNNNNNNNNNNNNNNNNNNNNNNNNNNNNNNNNNNNNNNNNNNNNNNNNNNNNNNNNNNNNNNNNNNNNNNNNNNNNNNNNNNNNNNNNNNNNNNNNNNNNNNNNNNNNNNNNNNNNNNNNNNNNNNNNNNNNNNNNNNNNNNNNNNNNNNNNNNNNNNNNNNNNNNNNNNNNNNNNNNNNNNNNNNNNNNNNNNNNNNNNNNNNNNNNNNNNNNNNNNNNNNNNNNNNNNNNNNNNNNNNNNNNNNNNNNNNNNNNNNNNNNNNNNNNNNNNNNNNNNNNNNNNNNNNNNNNNNNNNNNNNNNNNNNNNNNNNNNNNNNNNNNNNNNNNNNNNNNNNNNNNNNNNNNNNNNNNNNNNNNNNNNNNNNNNNNNNNNNNNNNNNNNNNNNNNNNNNNNNNNNNNNNNNNNNNNNNNNNNNNNNNNNNNNNNNNNNNNNNNNNNNNNNNNNNNNNNNNNNNNNNNNNNNNNNNNNNNNNNNNNNNNNNNNNNNNNNNNNNNNNNNNNNNNNNNNNNNNNNNNNNNNNNNNNNNNNNNNNNNNNNNNNNNNNNNNNNNNNNNNNNNNNNNNNNNNNNNNNNNNNNNNNNNNNNNNNNNNNNNNNNNNNNNNNNNNNNNNNNNNNNNNNNNNNNNNGCCGUACCCACUGGGAACCAUGGAGUUGGUUCUCACCCCACGUUGUUUUGGGGUGUUACAGGUAUACACGUGAGCGGCGCGGCGGCGCGAGGCGAGGGCGUAGCUCCGUAGUUAGCGCCCUACCACCGAGACCGGAGAUAGCGGUACCCUGAGUCGGCCUUUACUUAGGGAUGUAAGGAAAUGAAAGGAAUCAAGUUGUAAUAAUUUGUAAUAAAAGCAUGAUUGUAUUUGGAAGUUAAAUGUAUUAUGUAAUUGAGAUGUAAAAUGUAUCUAUAUAAUGUGAAUGCUUGUAAUAGCAAGUAGAUUAUGUUUUUGAUACUUCCUUAUGCAAUCUUUGAUUGAAAUGUGUUCCUGGUUGGAACUUUGUACAUUGUAUUGAUUGCGACGCCUUGAAUGUACAGGGGAGACUCUGUCCGCGGUACCGGAAAAACCCUGUCCAUUCGGCGGUCUGUCGGCGUGCCCGAAACCGGCCAAAUAGGCGGGCUCGGGGCGUGACACGAACCCACUGGGAACUUUGUUUAGUUCUCAAACCCUGUUUUGCAGAGCCUAAUACGAGCGCGUGCGUCGAGGAUCACGGCAAGGGUAUCGCGCCCUAGAUAGAGUGGACCAUCGGCAUUAGCUCACUACCAUCGAGUAUAAAAGGAAAGAAUGAAUGUAAAAACCUUUUUGGAAAGAGAAUGUGAUAUAUAUGUUAGAUGUUAGUUUGUAUGUUAAAUGAGAGGUUUUGUAAUAAGCUAAAGAAUGUAAGUUGUUAAACACACUAUGUGGAAAUGUUCUAGUAAGUAGCUUACUUUCUCUCGUAUCUUGAUAUGCCUCUCGCAAAUGUUGAAUGCUAAUAUCUCUUGUUUAGAUAUGUAUGCAUAGACUUUGUUACGCUUCGGGCGGGCAGGGGAAACUCUGUCUGUUCUGCAGGUCUGUUUCGGACCCGAACUGUCCAAAUUGGCGGUGACGGGACGUGACAGAUUGAGGUGGUAUCAGAGCGGAGAGCGGUCUAGGAAGACCUAGGAAACCUUAGGACUUGUGGCCUUAAGGAUUUAGAGACGUGAGAGACGAUGACUCUUGGGUUGUGGCGAAAGUGAAAUGAUUGGGUCAAGUUGUGAAAUAUGUCUCUAAUGAGCUUUAGAGACGGAUUCAAGGUGUGAUUUAAUCUUAGCUUGAGGUGGUCAUGUUGGCGGCCGACAACAUGAUGCCGAGAGAUGAGAUUAAGUACCCUUGUUUAACUUUCGCCUAAUUGGGUUGUCUCGUUGGUGUUACUAACUUAUGUUAGUUAUAAAUUCGUGGAGUGUAACCGGGGGUGCUGUUUCCUUUCAGGACGUGAUGAGACGUGGAAGGCCACCCCCGAAGGUACCUACUCCUGAUCCGGCACCGCCUCUUGAGGUGCCUGAGUCGUCGGUAUCUGGCGAGAUACAAGAUUUGCGGGAUCAAGUUGCCGCUCUUGUUGGAGUGGUGCGGAGACAAGCUGAAGCUUCUCAGCAGCUGGCUGAGGCCUCCCAGCGACAGGAAGAACAGAUGGCGCUGCUUCGGGAAUUGGUGUCCCGACAGGCGGCGGCGACACCUGUCACUCAGCAGCCACCCGUCUCACCUGUGCGCGCCCCUACUGGAGUUGAGGCGGCGGGUGCGGCGGCACCACCGCCGAUGGGGUACACCGUGCCACCAGGUGUGGCGGCGGGCACUUGCCCGGCGAUGUCGAGUACUUCUACUCAUGUUGAUCCGGCGUUGGAGGCCGAGAGGGACCGAGCUCUCGCUUGCCUCACCGCAUUCAAGAAGUUCAAUCCGCCUAUUUUCAACGGGGAGUCGGGUGACCCGUGGGAAAUGGAAUCGUGGGUGGAUACAAUGGAGAAGUUGUUCGAGGAUCUCUAUACCCUUGAGCAAGAUAAGGUGCACCUAGCUGUGCAUUGCCUCGAGAAGUCCGCUCGUGUUUGGUGGAAGGCGACUCGUCAGAAUCGCUCCCCUACAUUACCCCCGAUGAUGUGGGAGGAGUUCCGAGGAUUGCUUUAUGGUGUUCACUUCCCGGAUAGUGAUAAGAAGAAAAUGGAGGAGCAAUUCCGAAUCCUUAAGCAAGGGGAUCGCACUGUUCGAGAUUAUGAGAGGGAGUUCUCUCACAUUGUGAAUUGCGUUCCACAUGUGGUCCGGAGUGACGAAGACAAGGCGGGAUGCUUUGAGCGUGGACUUCGCCGCGAGAUCUAUGCGGCGAUGCAACCCUUAAGGUUGAAGACCUUUACUGAGGUGUUUGAUAGAGCUCUUUGGGUAGAGCAAGGAAUCGCCAAGAUGCGCGCGGAGCGCGAAUCGAAUGAUAAGGGUGCAGAUAAGAAGCGGUCGGCUAGUGGUCCCGCUGGAUCAUCAAAGUACAAGAAGCCCCCGAAGUAUCCGCGUAAGCCGGGGAAGGAUCGUGGACCUCCUCACUGCUACAUUUGUGGGGGAAAUCAUCGGUCCCACGACUGUGAGCGGCGUGGGAAGUGUUAUCAGUGUGGGCAACCUGGUCAUGGAUGGCGUGAGUGCCCAAUGCGUGUGUCACCGGCUCCGACUUCUGCUUCGGCUCCGCCUGCUCCGCGACAGUUCACAGGCCAUCCGCCCGCGAUGUCUACUGGACGCACCAUGGUGCCGCGUCAAGCCGAGGGAUCUCGUGCGGCGCCAAGUGGACGAGUUUAUGCUGCUCAAGUGGAGGAGCCUGCCGUAGCCGACGAUGUCGUGGCAGGUAUUAUUUUAGUUCAUAAUACUAGAGCUAGAGCAUUGUUUGACACUGGCGCAUCAAACUCAUUUAUUAGCAAGUCUUUCGCUAAAGCUCAUGACAUUGAAAUUUCAUUGUGUGCGGACUUUUGGUGGGUGGAUGCACCUGAGCACACAUUUAGUAUCAAGGAUGAAUGUAGAGCUUGUCCGGUGCAAAUUGGCGAUUGGAUCAUGCCAGUGAAUUUGCUUGUGUUGAACCGGAUGAAGGGCUUCGACAUAGUCCUUGGAAUCGAUUGGCUCUCAAAGUAUCAUGCCACCAUAGAUUGUAAAAGCAAGGUGAUCACUUUUUGUGAGCCUGGUCAGAAGGAAGUUGUUUAUCGUGCAUGCAAGAGCUCGCUCUUUGCUAUGACAGUGUCGACGUCAAGAGCAAGAAGGUUGAUUAAAAGUGGAUGUGAAGCCUACUUGGCGUCGGUGGUGGAGACUCAAAAAGAGCUCCCAGCUCUUGGGGACAUUCCGGUCGUAUGUGAAUUUCCGGAUGUAUUUCCCGCGGAAUUACCGGGAUUGCCACCGGACCGGGAGAUCGAAUUUGUGAUUGAAUUAAUUCCCGGGACGACGCCGAUUUCUAAAGCUCCUUACCGCAUGGCACCAGCGGAGUUGAAGGAAUUAAAGGCACAGUUGCAAGACCUUCUCGACAAGGGCUUUGUUAAGCCGAGUGUAUCACCGUGGGGAGCCCCGGUGUUGUUUGUAAAGAAGAAAGACGGAUCGCUUCGACUCUGCGUGGAUUAUCGCGAGUUGAACAAGGUCACAAUCAAGAACAAGUACCCGUUGCCUCGUAUUGACGACUUGUUUGAUCAGUUGCAAGGGUCGCGGGUAUAUUCGAAGAUUGACCUCCAGUCGGGCUAUCAUCAGUUGAAGGUUAAGCCGGAGGAUGUGCAUAAGACUGCGUUUCGGACGCGGUAUGGGCACUAUGAAUUCACGGUUAUGCCAUUUGGACUCACGAAUGCCCCGGCGGCUUUCAUGGACUUAAUGAACCGUAUCUUCAAGUCUUACUUGGACCGUUUUGUCGUAGUCUUCAUAGACGACAUCUUGGUCUACUCUCGGAGUGAUGAAGAGCAUGUGGAGCACUUGAGAAUUGUGCUACAACUACUUCGGGAGGAGAAAUUAUAUGCCAAGUUAAAGAAAUGCGACUUUUGGCUUCGGAAAGUUGCAUUCCUUGGGCAUGUGAUCUCGGCUGACGGAGUUUCGGUUGACUCGGGUAAGGUGGAGGCAAUAAAGAAUUGGCCUCGCCCGACGAAUGUGACUGAGGUUAGAAGCUUUUUGGGCCUUGCCGGCUAUUAUAGACGGUUCGUGGAAGGAUUUGCUAAGAUAUCUCUUCCACUAACGCGUCUUACUCAGAAAGGAGUUAAGUUUGCGUGGAGCGAGGAUUGUGCUCGAGGCUUUGGGGAAUUAAAGAAGAGAUUGACUACAGCUCCGGUCCUUGCCUUACCUACUCCCGGUGAGAGUUUUGUGGUGUAUAGCGAUGCUUCGCGAUUGGGUCUUGGGUGCGUGUUGAUGCAACGCGGGCAAGUUAUUGCAUAUGCUUCCCGACAGUUGAAGGCCUAUGAGAAAAAUUAUCCAACCCAUGAUCUCGAGUUGGCUGCCGUGGUCUUCGCACUCAAGUUGUGGAGACACUAUUUGUAUGGCGAGCGUUGCGAAGUAUACACCGACCACAAGAGCCUCAAGUAUCUGUUUACACAGAAAGAAUUGAACCUGAGGCAGCGCCGAUGGUUAGAAUUGUUGAAAGACUAUGACAUCACAAUUCUUUACCAUCCGGGAAAGGCUAAUGUGGUUGCCGAUGCAUUAAGUCGGAAGUCGGUGGAAAAUCUUGCGAUGAUGAUUACUAAACAACCGCCAUUGCUUGAAGAAUUGCGGCGUUUCAAUUUGGAAGUGGUAGCUCCGAACGUUCCAAUUGUUAUUGCAAGCUUAGUGGUGCGACCGACCUUGUUGGAGAAAGUUAAGACUCAACAGUUACAAGAUUCAUAUCUCCAAAAGGUGCGAGGUGAUGUUGAGGGUGGACAUGCGAAUGAUUUCAACGUUGGCUCCGAUGGCACAAUCCGGUUUCGAGGCCGAUUAUGUGUUCCUAGUGAUGAGGGAAUGCGGAGCGAGAUCAUGCAAGAAGCACACCAAUCCCCUUAUAGCAUACAUCCGGGUGGCACUAAGAUGUAUAAGGAUUUGAGAAACCAUUAUUGGUGGCCCGGGAUGAAGAAGGAUAUUGGUCGCUUUGUGGCGCAAUGUUUGGUGUGCCAACAAGUUAAGGCCGAACAUCGACUCCCUGCGGGAAAGCUACAAAGUUUACCAAUCCCCGUGUGGAAAUGGGAGGACGUGACUAUGGACUUGGUAGUGGGUUUACCUCGUUCUCAAGGCGGUCACGAUGCAAUAUGGGUGGUCGUGGAUCGCCUCACGAAAUCUGCGCAUUUCAUGCCAAUCCACACCACAUGGUCAGGUGAUAAACUUGCACAAGUUUAUUUGGAUGAGGUGGUCCGACUACAUGGUGUUCCGGUAUCAAUUGUGUCGGAUCGAGACCCUCGAUUUACUUCCCAGUUUUGGAAGAACUUGCAAAGUGCUCUUGGCACACGGCUCGAAUUUAGUACUGCCUUUCAUCCUCAGAGCGAUGGUCAGUCGGAGAGGACGAUACAAAUCCUUGAGGAUAUGUUGCGAGCAUGUGUUCUUGACUUCAAAGGAGGUUGGCAUAGUUAUUUGCCAAUGGCGGAGUUUGCCUAUAAUAAUAGUUAUCAAGCGAGCAUUGGAAUGGCACCGUUCGAGGCCUUGUAUGGACGGAAGUGCCGCUCCCCAAUACAUUGGAGUGAAGUUGGAGAGCGACUUGAAAUGGGUCCAGAUGUAGUACAAGAGGCCGAGGAGAAGGUUCGCAUUGCUCGGCAAAGAAUGCUAACGGCACAGUCUCGGCAAAAGAGCUAUGCUGACAAGCGCCGACGAAGCCUCGAGUUUACCGUGGGUGACAAGGUAUUCUUAAAAGUCUCCCCUAUGCGAGGCGUUAAGCGAUUUGGAAUGCGAGGGAAGUUAAGUCCUCGCUAUGUUGGGCCGUAUGAGAUUUUGGAUCGGGUUGGCCCCGUGGCUUAUCGGUUAGCAUUGCCACCUCGACUUGCGGGAGUGCACAAUGUGUUCCAUGUGUCGACACUCCGCAAGUAUGUUUCUAACUCUACGCAUGUACUCCAAUAUGAACCACCCGAGCUUCAGGAGGAUAUGUCGUACGAAGAAUUUCCGGUGCGCAUCCUAGCUCAUGAGGAGAGAAAGCUACGGAAUCGUGCGAUCGCAUAUGUCAAAGUUCAAUGGAGUAAUCAUGCUGAACGAGAAGCUACGUGGGAGCUCGAAAGCAAGAUGCAUGAAGAGUAUCCUUACCUCUUCCCCGAGUCUAAUUGAGGUAUAAUUUCAAGUUUCGAGGACGAAACUUCUUUUAAGGAGGGGAGGAUGUAGUGUACCGAAUUUUAACAUAGAAGUAAGAGUAAAUAAAAAUAGUGUAAAAUACUAUUUUUAUUGGACUUAAAGAAGUUUUCUAUGUGCAAAUGAGGUGCUUACUUGGGGGUUAAGUUUCCUAUGCAUAAGUAAAGAGUUUACUUGGGGGUCAAGUUUUCUAUGGCUAAGUAAUGGGCUAACUUGGAGGCUAAGUUUCCUAACUUGGAGGCUAAGUUUCCUAUGUAUAUAUAAAUAUGAUAUGAGGACUUGGACCUUUUCUCUCAUUUUCCACCCCUUAACCCAAAAAGAGAAGCCUUCUCUUUCCCUCUCUAAACCUCUCUCUCUCCUAGCUCCUAGAGUGUUACUCCAAAAGUGGAGAUUUGGUGGAAGAAGCUUACUUGGAGGUGGAGCUUUCCUCUUCCUCACCAUUGGCUUGAAGAGAGCUUGGGUUUGGAUCGGAAGGAAUCGACGGCCGUAAAUCGCGCUACUAGGCUACCCGCUUUGUGUCGACGCCACAAGGUGGGGGGUGCUAUCCGAAAUAGCCGGGUUUCAUUCUAUGUCUAAGUUCUACUAUUUUUUGAUCAUAUAUCAUCAUGUGUAGAAUAGUGAGAAUCCUAUGAGUUGUGGUAAUUUCAUGCUUAGUGUGAGGGAUGAUGAUCUAUGAUUGCAUGAUACUUGUAGGAAUAUCUAUUUGCAUGAUGUUGAGAUAGAUAUGGACAUGUAUGUUGCAUGAGAACCUUUAUAUGAUGCCAAUAUAGAUGUAUGUAUACAUAUAGCAUGAGUUGCUAGUGGACAUAUGCAUGUGGAUAUGAUGUGAGAAUAGACUAGAUUCAUGAGGAACUAGUAUGUGAACCAAUGACAUUUGAGAAUUGGAAACCUAUGCAUAUGUGGCCGACUUGAGCAUGCCUUGUGAUGAGGACUUGAUGAUACUCGCUUUGUCUGUUAUAGCUUGUGGAUGGUCGCGCCUCCCAAGCAGUGAGCUCCGGAGUUGUAUCACAAUUGCGAAUAAAGCGGGGGGCCUCUCCCGUCAGACGUCACGGUCCCGUGACAGUGUGUGCGAGUGGUUCGACCUUCGGGCGAAUCGAUUGGACUUGGCAAAAGGCAUGAUCAUGGCAUUUCAUAUAUCGUUUGCAUACAUGAUAGAACUUAAAUUCAUACUUGUUGACAUGAUUAGUAAAGGCAUAGCUACACAUUUGAGCAUGAUAUAGAUGUAGAUGAGCAAGGUAGGCUUGUUGUUAUAUCUCUUAUUUCUUUGACAUAUUAUCCUCUUUAUUGUUUCUAUGCCUUUCUUGGACCUAGUGGGAAAAUCGGCGGGGUCGGCGGCCGAACCCACUGGGAACUUUGUUUAGUUCUCACACCCUGUUUUACAGAGCCUAGUACGAGCGCGUGCGUCGAGGAUCGCGGCAAGGGCAUCGCGCCCUAGAUAGAGUGGACAAUCGACAUUAGCUCGCUACCCCCUAUGUAUAGCAAGGAAUGAAUGAAUGUAAAAACCCUUUUGGAAAGAGAAUAUGAUGUGUAUGUUAAAUGAGAGGUUUUGUAAUAAGCUAGAGAAUGUAAGUUGUUAAAGACUCUAUGUGGAAAUGUUUUAGUAAGUAGCUUGCUUUCUCUUGUGUCUUGAUAUGCCUCUCGCAAAUGUUGAAUGCUAAUAUCUCUUGUUUAGAUAUGUAUGCAUGGACUUUGUUACGCCUUGGGCGGAUAGGGGAAACUCUAUCCGUUCGGCGGAUCUGUUUCAGACCCGAACUGUCCAAAUUGGCGGUGACGGGACGUGACANACUUUUCGGUCGUUUGAAUUUGGGUUUAGUUUAACGACUUUUCGGUUGUUUGAAUUUGGGUUUAGUUUAGCAAUUUUUUGAUCGAUUGAAAUCGAGAUGUUCAUGAAACCGAUUCAUGAAAUUAAUUCAUGCUAGGAGCCCGUUUGUAAAGUCCAUUAAAUUUAUGACAAGGAGGGCCCAUGAAAUUAAUUUAUAGAAUUAAUUCAUGAUAGGGGGCCUAUUUGGCAAACCCAUGAAAUUAAUUUGUCAAAUUAAUUCAUGAUAGGAGGUCCAUUUGGAAAGUCUAUAAAACUAAUUCAUGAUAAGGGGGCCUAUUUUGCAAACCAUGAAAUUAAUUCGUAGAAUUAAUUUAUGAUAAGGGGUCAUUUGGAAAGCUCAGGAAAUUAAUUCAUAGAAUUAAUUUAUAAUAAAGAGCCCAUUUGGAAAGCCCAUGAAUUCGGUUUGGGUUGGAGGUAUUUGGAUGACAUAGGUUUGGUAGAUUUGGUUGGGUUUUAUUUAUGAACUUUGGAUUUUGGAUCUUUGAGUUUUGGAUCUUUAUUUGUGGAUUUUGGAUUUUUGGGAUUUUGUUUGUGGGCUGAGAUAGAUCUUGGAUUUUAUAUGUUCAGGGCCCAACUCUGCAUGUGGGCUGAGACGGGUUACGGGCUUUAAUAUUCUGGGCUCGAAUCUGUAUGUGGGCUGGGUUUUUUAUUGAUUUUGAAUCCAAAUCUGCGUAUGGGCUGGAUUUCGGGCUCUACAGGUUGUGGACUCGAAUUUGCAUGUGGGGUUGGUGCCUCUCUUUUUUUAUUGCUUAUAAAGUUUAUUCGUGUAACCCAUAAAUAAAUAGCUCAAAUUCAUUUCAUCAACAAUUUUUUUUGGUUCCAUUUUUUUUGUUCUUUCUUUUUUUUUUUUUAACUGAGAGAAGGAACAACUUUUUUUUUGCAUUUGUUCUUUUCUUUCAUUUUCUUUUCUUUUUUUUCUCUUUUUUUUGUGUGGACUGUCAGAGAGAGAGAGAGAUACAACUCCCUCUCUCUUUGUCUGUGUGUGUACGAAAUUGAGACAGAGAGAGAGAGGGGGUACCUCUCCCUUUUCUUUUUUUUUUUUGCUAAUUGUGAGAGAAAGGAAACCCAACUCCUUUUUUUUUUCUUUUCUUUUUUUUUUUCUUCUUUUCUUUCUUUUUCCUUUUUUUUUGCUGACUGUGAGAGAGAGAGAGAGGGAAAACCCAACUCUCUCUCUCUCUCUCUCUCUCUCUCUUUCUUUGUGUGCGUACGAAACCGAGGGAGAGAGAGUAGUACCCAACAACUCCUUUUUUUUUUUCUUUCUUUUCUUUCUUUUCUUUUCUUUUUUAUUCUUUCUUUCUUCUUUUUUUCUUUUGUGUUGACUGCCAGAUAGAGAGAAGUCCAACUUUUUUUUCUUUUUCUUCUUUUUUUGUUUGUUUGUUUGUUUGUUUUUUUUUAUUAUUUGUCCAAAUAUACGAAAUUUCGUAUCUCAUUUUUUUUAUACGAAAUUUAUCACGUCGAGCAAUACGAUCAAAUCGAACGAAGAUGAUGAAUCAAAACAGAACCCGUCCAUUUUUAAUUAUCAUUCUUAUUGUUAUUAUUUUUUGUCGCGUUUUGUUCAAGUACGCGGAGUUUAAUCGUGUCGAGCCUAUCACGAAGAUGGCCGCUCGAUUAAUUCUUUUGACCAUGUCGAACCUAUCGCGAAGAUGGCCGCACGGUUUACGUAUCGAAAUAAACAGAGCUCGAUCACCCAUUUUGACCAUGUCGAGCCUAUCGUGAAGAUAGCCGCACGGUUUACAUAGUAAAAUAUCCGGUUCGAUCAAUCAUUUUGACCAUGUCGAGCCUAUCACGAAGAUGGCCGCACGGUUUAGAGAUUAGCGAUGCGUACGAUAGAAGCGACGAUUUAAUGUCAAAUUUGAUCGGUUCAAAACCUAUCACGAAGAUGGUCGGGUUGAUCAAAUUGACAAAAAAAAACUCACGGUUUAGAGAUUAGCGAUGCAUAUACGCGACGGAAGCGACGAUUUAAUGUCAAAUUUGAUCGGUUCAAAACCUAUCACGAAAAUGGUCGGGUUGAUCAAAUUGACAAAAAAACGGACUUACGCUAUGCGUAUGCAUGCAUAUCUCCUACUGUUAUAGAAGUCGUUGUGAUUGUCGUUGUCGAAGUCGUAGCCGAAUUCAAGAGCCAGAGUCCUUUUUUAAUUCUUCUUUUUUUUUGUUGCUUUGUACGGAAGAGGAGGGGUGCACAUGGCACCCCCACUGCCAGCCGAGAGAGAGAGAGUGAGAGAGGAGAGAGAGAGAGGAGAGUAUAAAAACUCUUUUUUUUUUGUUUCUCACCUUUUUUUUCUUUCUUCUUCUUCUUUUUUUCUUUUUUUUUUUUUGCUUUGGUUCUCUUUCGGAUCUCUCCCUUUCUUCCUUCCUCUAAAAAAAUUCUCUCUCUAGACUCCUCUUUCGAAAUUUGGAUCUUAUUUUAUAUAGGAUUCAAAGAUGAUUCCCAUUUGGGAAUAAUUUAAAAAAUCAAUUUAUGAGGAAACAAACCUCAAUCAACUAAUUAUACCUCUUUUGUUUUAUUUUUUGAUAAUUUCCUCUUUUUUUUUCUUUUGAAUCUUUUCUUUCCCUAUUUCCUUCCUUCUAUAUUUUCAAUUUGAAUUUGAACUUUUUUUUUGUCUCAANCUAGGCGUAGCAACUGUUGAAACUUCACAUUGUGACUUAGACUAGAUCUUCAGGAUGCUAGUUAUGACACCAUGUUAGAGACAUGAGGAUUGGAUAGUUGAGACUUGGACCAUGCUUGCUUGCCAUUUGUGCUCAUUCGCACAUGCUUGUGAGGGUCGCUCCCUACAAGCCGGCACUCCGGAGUUAGCCUAUGCGACCUAUGUUCGCUCGUGCGGUAUUGAGAAGCCUACGAGGUCGAGUGGGACAGACACAUUCCAAGAGUAGGAAUGUCGGGCUACCACAGGCACUUAGGCGGCACAAGCUGGACUACCUUUGGUAGGUCCUUGAUUGGAAAUGGAAAUCGAUACGGGGUCGAGAUUGGUUAAUCACUACUAGAUAGGUUUAGUAGUUGGAUUACAUUUAUAUGUUUUUUUGCAUAGUGUUGAGACAUGUAGUAUAUUUGAUAGUCUCUUGUUGCAUUAGAGCAUACUUGGUUGCCAUGAUAGAGCUUAUGCAUCAUGCAUUGAUAAGGGUUAUUGACAUUAGACUAGUGCCAUUGGACGUAAUUGUAAGGAUAGAAUAGAUGUACAUUUUGGUUUGCAUCACGCUUUCUUUCAGCAGUUUAUUUACAUGCUCCUUAUUGCUUAUUAUUAUUAUCGUUGCUUACCUUUGUUUUUGGGGCCUAGUGGAGCAGGAGCUGAGGUCAGUAAUUGCCCACUGGGAACUAUAGCUUAUAGUUCUCACGCCCUCUUUUUCUCGAUGUUUUCAGAGCCUUCCACUCAGGGCGAAGCUAGGGACCGCGGGAAGGGAGUUGCUUCGAGCUAGCUUCCUUUGAGGACGAUUCGCUAGGUGGUCUACCUCUCGUUGUGUUUUACUUUGGAGAGGUUGAGAGUUCUACCAGUGUAUUAGAGACCACCGUUUUUGUACUUUUGAGACAGAUAUUGUACUACUUAUGAUUUCUUUAUUGUCUAGCUUUGCUUGCUCUGAUAUCUCUAGUUGCUAGUUAUUUUAUUUCUUAUAUUUGUUCUAUCUCUUGCUUUUACUUCCGCUUUUAUCGUAGACGCCUUAUAUGUGUAGACAUAUGGCGGGUCUGGGCACGCUACUGGGAGGGCCUCCGCCGGUCCCGGGGCGUGACAUAUCUCUUCCACUAACGCGUCUUACUCAGAAAGGGGUUAAGUUUGCAUGGAGCGAGGAUUGCGCUCGGGGCUUUGAAGAAUUAAAGAAAAGGUUAACUACAACUCCAGUUCUUGCCUUACCUACUCCCGGUGAGAGUUUUGUGGUGUAUAGCGAUGCUUCGCGAUUGGGUCUUGGGUGUGUGUUGAUGCAACGCGGGCAAGUCAUUGCAUAUGCUUCCCGACAGUUGAAGACCUAUGAGAAGAAUUAUCCCACCCAUGAUCUUGAGUUAGCUGCCGUGGUCUUCGCACUUAAGCUAUGGAGACAUUACUUGUAUGGCGAGCGUUGCGAAGUCUACACCGACCACAAGAGCCUCAAGUAUCUGUUUACACAGAAAGAGUUGAACCUUAGGCAGCGACGAUGGUUAGAAUUGUUGAAAGACUACGAUGUCACAAUUCUUUACCAUCCGGGAAAGGCUAAUGUGGUUGCCGAUGCAUUGAGUCGGAAGUCGGCGGAAAAUCUUGCGAUGAUGAUUACUAACCAACCGCCAUUGCUUGAAGAAUUACGACGUUUUGACUUGGAGGUAGUAGCUCCGGACGUCCCAAUUGUUCUUGCAAGCUUAAUCGUGCAACCGACCUUGUUGGAGCGGAUUAAGACUCAACAAUUACAAGAUUCUUAUCUCCAAAAGGUACGAGUUGACGUUGAGGGUGGACGUGCUAGUGAUUUUAGUGUUGGCUCCGAUGGCACCAUUCGGUUUCGCGGUCGGUUGUGUGUUCCUAGUGAUGAGGGAAUGCGGAGCGAGAUCAUGCAAGAAGCACAUCAAUCCCCUUAUAGCAUACAUCCGGGUGGCACUAAGAUGUAUAAGGAUUUGAGAACCCAUUAUUGGUGGCCCGGGAUGAAGAAGGAUAUCGGUCGCUUUGUGGCGCAAUGUUUGGUGUGCCAACAAGUUAAGGCCGAACAUCGACUCCCUGCGGGAAAACUUCAAAGUUUACCAAUCCCCGUGUGGAAAUGGGAGGAUGUGACUAUGGACUUGGUAGUGGGGUUACCUCGUUCUCAAGGCGGUCAUGAUGCAAUAUGGGUGGUGGUGGAUCGCCUCACGAAAUCUGCGCAUUUCAUGCCAAUCCACACCACAUGGUCGGGUGAUAAACUUGCUCAAGUUUAUUUGGAUGAGGUCGUCCGACUACACGGAGUUCUGGUAUCGAUUGUGUCGGAUCGGGACCCUCGAUUUACUUCACAGUUUUGGAGGAACUUGCAGAGUGCUCUGGGCACACGGCUCGAGUUCAGUACUGCUUUUCAUCCUCAAAGUGAUGGCCAGUCAGAGAGGACGAUACAAAUCCUUGAGGAUAUGUUGCGAGCGUGUGUCCUUGACUUCAAGGGAGGUUGGCAUAGUUAUUUGCCUAUGGCGGAGUUCGCCUACAAUAACAGUUAUCAAGCGAGUAUUGGAAUGGCUCCAUUCGAAGCCUUAUAUGGACGGAAGUGCCGCUCCCCGAUACAUUGGGGUGAAGUUGGAGAGCGACUUGAAUUGGGUCCGGACGUGUUACGCGAGGCCGAGGAGAAAGUUCGCAUUGCUCGGCAGAGAAUGUUAACGGCACAGUCUCGGCAAAAGAGUUAUGCCGACAAACGUCGACGAAGCCUCGAGUUUGCAAUUGGAGACAAGGUAUUUUUAAAGGUCUCCCCGAUGCGAGGCGUUAAGCGGUUUGGAAUGCGAGGGAAGUUAAGUCCUCGCUACGUCGGGCCGUAUGAGAUUUUGGAUCGGGUUGGCCCUGUGGCUUAUCGGUUGGCGUUGCCACCUCGGCUUGCGGGAGUGCACAAUGUGUUCCAUGUGUCGACACUCCGCAAGUAUGUUUCCAACUCUACGCAUGUGCUCCAAUAUGAACCACCCGAGCUCCGGGAGGAUAUGUCGUACGAGGAAUUUCCGGUAUGCAUCCUAGCUCGUGAGGAGAGGGAACUACGGAAUCGUGCGAUCCCAUAUGUCAAAGUUCAAUGGAGUAAUCAUGGCGAACGAGAAGCUACAUGGGAGCUCGAAAGCAAGAUGCGUGAUGAGUACCCUUACCUCUUCCCCGAGUCUAGUUGAGGUAUGACUCUAAGUUUCGAGGACGAAACUUCUCUUAAGGAGGGGAGGAUGUAGUGUACCGAAUUUUUUUAAUAUAGAAAUAAGAGUAAAUAAAAGUAUAUAAAAUUGUGCAAAUGAGAGGGGCUAAGGUGUAAUUGUGCAAAUGAGAGGGGCUAAGGUGGAAUGGUGCAAGUAAAAGAGUUUUACUUGGAGGGCAAGUUUCCUAUGUAUAAGAGAUUACUUGGAGGGCAAGUCUCCCUAUGUUAUGAGAGGGACUAAAGUGUAAUUGUGCAAAUCAAGGGUUUACUUGGAGGGCAAGUUUCCUAUGAGUGUGAGUGAACCCUUGCCCCCUUUUUCCCAAACCGUAGGAAAGAGAGAGUGGGCUUUCUCUCUCUUUCUCUCUUUGUCCUUGUGGUCUCUCUUUCUCUCUCUCUUUCUCUUUAUUAAAAAGAGGAUUUGCUAAAGAGAGGAUUUGCUAAGAGAGGAUUAGAGAAUACUAAUUGGAGUUGCUUGGUGGUGAAGCAAGCUUAGUGGAGAAGAAGGCUUGGAAUUGAGCUACUUCCUUCAUCUUCUUCAUCACUUGGAUUAGAGAAGAAAGCUUGUUUAAGGUAAGCUUCAUGGGCUCUAAUGGCAUAUAGCUAGAGAUGGGUUUAAAUCUCUUAGAAUCUAGCUAGAUGGAAAUCCUAGUUAAUGUUAGGUUGCUAUUUGCUUGAAUCAUGAAUUUAUAUAGUAUAUUAUUGCAAUAGUGACCUCUAGGAUUUUGAAAGAGAGCUCUUGAUCAUGAGAGGUUUUAAUCUCAAUUGAUCAUAUGUUUCCGCAAUUGAAGGUAAAACCGAUGCGGAGGAUCAUUCGGAUUGAGAUUCCGUUGAGCCGGUGGUGGUCAAAGUGAAGAAAAUUCUAUUUUGCUUCAUUUGUCGCAGUUGGAAGAAAACAACGGCCAUAAAUCGCGCUACUAGGCUACUCGCUUCGUGUCGACAUCACGAGGUGGGGGGUGCUAUCCGAAAUAGCCGAGUUUCAUUCUAUGUCUAAGUUCUACUUUUAUUGAUCAUAUAUCAUCAUGCAUAGAAUAGUGAGAAUCCUAUGAGUUGUGGUAAUUUCAUGCUUAGUGUGAGGGAUAAUGAUCCAUGAUUGCAUGAUACUUGUAGGAAUAUCUAUUUGCAUGAUGUUGAGAUAGAUGUGGACAUGUAUGUUGCAUGAGAACUUUUAUAUGAUGCCAAUAUAAAUAUUGUACAUGUUGUAUGAAUUGCUAGUGGACAUAUGCAUGUGAAUAUGAUGUAAGAAUAGACUAGAUUCAUGAGGAACUAGUAUGUAAACCAAUGACAUUGUGAGAAUUGGAAACUAAUGCAUAUGUGGCCGACCUGAGCAAAGCAUGCCUUGUGAGGAUAGGGAUAUGGUACUCCCGUGGCCCUCGAAUGAGAGGACUUGAUCAUACUCGCAUUGUCUGUUAUAGCUUGUGGAUGGUCGCUCCUCCCAAGCAGUGAGCUCCGGAGUUGAAUCACAUUGAGAUUGGAACGGGGGAGAGAGUCACUACGGUGCGCCCUCGGCAGACGGUCACGGUCGCGUGACAGUAUGUGUAGCGAGUGAUUCGACCUUCGGGCGAAUCGUUUGGAUUUGACACAGGCAUGAUCAUGACAUUUCGUAUAUAGUUGCAUACAUGAGAGAACUUAAACAUGUACUUGUUGACAUAAUUUGUAAAGGCAUAGCUACACAUUCGAGCAUGAUAUAGAUGUGGAUGAGCAAGGUAGGCUUAUUGUUAUAUCUAUUAUUCCUUUGACAUGUUGACCUCUUUAUUGUUUCUAUGCCUUUCUUGGACCUAGUGGGAAAAUCGGCGGGGUCGGCGGCCGAACCCACUGGGAACUAUGGAUAAUAGUUCUCACACCCUGUUUUGCAGAGCCUAGUUCGAGCGCGUGUGUCGAGGAUCGCGGCAAGGGCGUCGCGCAGUAGAUAGAGUGGAUCACCGGCGUUAGCUCCCUACCCUCGAGAAUAAAAAAGAAAAGAAUGAUAUGUAAAACCCUUUUGUGAAGAAAUGUAAUGUAUUUGAGGGAUGGCAUUUUGGUUGUAUGUAUGAGAAGUCAAGUGAAAUAUGUAAUGGUUCUUGUGUGUGAACAAGUAAUGAAAUAGAUAGUUUAAAUUCUCUCGUUUCUGUGAUUGCCUCUCUCAAUGUUGAAUGCUAACAUCUCUUGUUGGAUAUGUAUGCAUAGACUUUGUUACGCUUCGGGCGAGCAGGGGAAACUCUGUCCGUUCGGCGGGUCUGUUUGGGCCCGAACUGUCCAAAUUGGCGGUGUCGGGUCGUGACAAAACAUGUCCAAGUUUCUAUACAAAAAUAAACAUCUAUUGGGGUUCCUCCUCUAGUGCAAGCAACUAUGGUAGGAGACAUUAUCUAGUUUGCGAUCACCUUACCUUAAUCAGACACUGACACUAAGAACUCUGAAAGAAACACAAUAAAAAGAGGGUGUGAGAAACUGCUGAACAAAAAUCUCCAGUGGGUACAAUUGACGACAACGGCAACCUACACUACUAGGUCAAUUAAACGUAAUAAUAGUAAUAAACUGAGUGAAUAUGAGCAUAUACUAAACUAGAAAGAAAGAAUGCUAUCAUGCCUCUAUACUAACUAAUGAAAAUAGUGAUCAAAUAUGAAGCAUCAACUAUGAUACUAGAUAAAGUGAUGCUGUAUAAUUAAUCAAAUCGUACCGACCAACUCAUAAGUCUGAUCAAGCCUGCGCACGCCUCAUGCCCAGUCCCCACUCCCACAUGUGGUCUGUCUACAUGCAGGCUAUCUAGUUUAUCUAUAUUUGCCAGCCUCCAGAGGGGCACUCGUGGGUUGCGAUCCCGCCAAGUAUCAUAUCAUGUAUCUCUGUUAAGCUCAAUAUGGCUUUCAUAACUAGGCUAUAGUCUGAUGAUAUAAAAGAUCAUAAGUAAUACUGUUUAGGCACCCUCUGGCACAAUCGCAUACUGUCCCACUGUCCAGCACUGUAAAACUAUCUUGUGACACUUUUUUUUUUAUAAAUUUUUGCAUACAAUGACAGGUCAUCAUUAUAUAUAAAAUAUAAUCUCAAAUAGUAGGAAUAUCAAACAUUUGCAAAAUACUCCACAUGCUGAUAAGGUAUUCGAAUAGCAGAAUCAUGCCAACAUAAGUGUCCUCAACUAUACAAAGCCAUUGAACAAGUCACCAAAUCAAGCAUACAAAAACGAAAUCAGAGUUAGUCCACUAUUUUCGGUGACAUGGAAUCCAAAUAGACAAGCUACUUCAAGGAAGGCAAGAUAACGACACACUCCAGCACCUCCCUCCUCAAAAGCGCCAAAAUCCAAUAAGAAACCCCCAAAACUCAGCUCCUAAAAAUCAACAAUUAAGUCCUUUGCUAAAUCAACAUUGAUAAAAAUCCCAAUAAAAAUCCCAAUCUCCAAAUACAAUCGUUACUCGCCACUAAUAAUAGAUAAAGAGAUGGACACCUCAAGCUGUCCUCCUCCUUACUCUACAGGAUCAUCCUUAAGCUACACAAAAUUCCAAAUCCUCAACAGACCAACAAUAAGGAAGAAGGUUACUCAACCUUUGGGUUCUCUUAGCCAGAGCCUUAAGCUACGCUAAGGAGAAAAGGAAGAAGAAGAGAAACAAAAAGGCUCAAUUGGUGAGAAAUGAGAAAAGCUAUGCGCCAUCGUGCUAUUUAUAGAUUGGACAUAAAAGCAAAAAAGCUCUCCAAAUAUUAAAAAAAAUCCACGUCAUGCUAAAACCAAGUUUCACGCGUUCGGAACCAUCUUUCGAGCAUCAGAUUCCUCAAGCUCCAUAGCUUUCGGGCACUCCCAACAUGCAAUGGAUCACCUGAACCAUCGUAGUGCUCACCAUUUCUAUCAAAUCAACCCCAUCUAAUUGUUGUGCUGCUACAGUAACAAAUGAGCACUUACAAACCAGCUACUCAACACAUCCUAAUCCAUCUACGAUAGAAUUGGGCAGCCAGAACUUCACCCAAAGCUUUCGGGUGCUCGAUCCAACAUUUCGAACACCCUUUGCACUUAGCUCACCAUUUUCGAGCACCCUAGACUCUGUCCGAGUAUCCGAAAAAGUUUGAAACUUCAGUUUUAGUUGAGUUCAGUAUCCCAAGCCCGUUUUCACGCCAAAACUGCUCCAACUCAAUCUAACACCUUACAUAAGUGCCAACUAGAAAGCCAUACUAUAAUCUUUUGUAGCACACUGAAUUUCAGCAAGUUGCAGGGUUCUAUUGAGAGAAAGUGUUUUGUACUAUUCUGGAGGUUUUGAAUGAUAUUGGAGAGCUUAGGGACGUUUUUAGGACUUAAUUAGCGCGAAAACGAAUCUUGGAGAUUAAAAUCUGCAAAAACAGCAGUUUGGCAUUGUGAACUGGUACUGCAUGUGUGUAGCGGAGCUCAGUUGAAGACUAGGUUGGAUCGCUCUCGAGUUUUGCGAAAAUGGGCUGGGUACUGGUAUUGAUUCUGCAUGUAUUGGUAAUGAUUCGGGCUGUGCCGGAACACAGUAGAGGGUUGUGGAAUCCAAAGUUUGAGUUUUGCGGAGCUGGAUUCGAGUACCGGAGCACUUCGGUCGUGUACCGGUACUCCAUUUCAUGUACCGACACUCAAUGGUGUAGAAAUUAUUUCACUUAGGUUGUAAUUUUCAAGUUUUGGGGGGCCUUUGGGAAUAUUAUUACAACAGGUAAAAUACCUCCUUCACCCAUCUCAUUUGCCUAUUGCAGCUAUAGCAAGAGCAAGGAGAGAGAUAUGAGUUUCUCCCCUAUUUUCCUUGGGUUUCUUCCUCCAAUCCCCCUAAUCCUUGGAUUUCUCUUUCUUUUCCUUUUCACCAUAGAUGCUUGCACCUAGAGCUUGGAGUGGAGUUUGGACUUGAAGGAAUUGUUUGGAGCCCUAAGCUUCAACCCUAGCAUUUCUAAAGUGGGAUUGGAGCUUCGAUUAAGGUUGGUAACCUUCUUUAAUCCUUUACUUGAUAGUUUUGUAGGAGUUUUGGUAGAAAAUCUAGUUUUGUAGAAAUUAGACUUUACUUUAGAAAUUUUCAAUUGUGAGGUUUUAUGUUGAAAUUGAUGAGUGUAGAACACUCUUAUAGGUUGGAAUUUAAGCCCCAUUUCUUUGAUUUGAAGCUUGGACGAGUUUGCCUUGGUCUAAGGUAUUUUACACUCAUUUUGUGAGAGGGUUUUUAAAUGUCCUAACCCCUUGAAAAUUUUUCUUAGUACAUAUUAUAAGUAGAGGACAACUUGUUUCGAGAAACAAUCGGAUUUCGGUGGCUAUCUAGUGAGUUUGACCUCACCGAAAUUGGUGAACUCUCCCUAUAUCUCCUAUUAUGUUUACAGCGCUUAAUAGAUGUUCUAACAUGAAAUUUAUGACAUCAUUAAAUUUUUGAGCAUGUGAUUGACCACUUUGUCACGUCCUGGGGCCGAUUAUAAAAGCCUUUUUAUAAUUAAUACUAUUUUUUGAAAAGUUUUCAGAGUUGCGGAAAACAUGCCAUUUUUUUUUGAAUUCAACCUGACCCACAUGGCGUACCGCCACAAAUACAAAGUUCCUCUGCCCACAUUGACAGAGUCUCCUUUGCAUUUGCACGGCGUACCCAAAGAUAACGACAACAGGAUCACAUCUCACAAUCUACAUUUACCAAUCCACAAGCAAUUCAUGUGAUGCAAUUCCAUACAGCUAGUGAUCCUUAAAGAUGAUGUAUGCUUCUAAACACUCCUUAGGCGCUGGAUAAUGCGAUGUACAAUACAACAGUCAUCCUAUUUAAAAAUGCUCUCUACCCGGAAGCUUUGUUUUUAAACUCUAUUUGUUCAUCCAUGAAAAUAAUUCAAAAACCUUUUAAAACUAUUUUUCACUCGAAAACUCUAUUUUUGAAAGCCGAUUACCUCGAGGGGUAGAAAACCACAACGUAUAAAUCCAGAUACCAAAGAUCCAUAAAACUCCGAUUGCAUGCAUAAUAGAAAACAUCAACUCAUACAAGUUCACGAUUAGUCAAGCAGUAACUAUGAUCAUCUAACUGAACCAUUUAUUAUUUAAAUUACUAACUAUAGAAAAGAAAAUAACCAGGGUAAUGACUGCUAAUAUGGCCUAGCUAGAACGUCUUUCCGUCGCACCAAGAACCAACUCCUUGCCCUUGCCACUUGGGGAAAUGGGGGUGAGAAACCACAAUCAAGGUUUUCCAGUGGGUACGACAGAGCCACGAAGGCAAAUCAUAUUUACUAGAAAACAAAGGAAAUAGAUCAACAUGUAUACAAGAUAUAUAAGUGAACAACAGUAUUAAUUACAAAAUAGUAAAUGAGUAAGGGAUAAGGCUACUACUGUAUCAUAAUCUCAACUGAAUAGAUGCCUCAAAGGUAAAUGAUCCAAUCAAAUCCAAUCUGGUGCCUGCCAUAUGACCGCAGACCUUAAGCUUGCAUGUCACAGGGCAUACACUUACUUGAUUCACGUGUCCACUGACGACCUAUUCGGAUACGUACAGCACCUGGUCGGUGGCCAAACCAACCGGUGUCUAGAAUACACAGUGCCGUGACUAAAUCAUACUGAUAUGCUCAAUGUGAAAAUCAGUAGAAAAUCGAUGCCCUGCCCUAAGCUAGAUACAAAGGCGUAUAACGCCGAACCAUGAUCAACUAGAUUGAAACUGUAAUGUACCGAGUCCUCGAUGCGUAAACCGAACUUUAGUCCAAAUUGACCAAAGUAUGGUACUGGACGCUUCGGAAAGGUCCGUUGAGUGUUCUGAGCGAUCGAAAUGGCUUAUAAGGGUAUGAAGGACCUUGGAGAGCAAGAUGGAGAAAUUACAAAAAAUUUCGUGCUGGAAAUGCUCUCGGGACUCGAACAUGAAAAAUCUCAGCGUUAAGUGAGGGCUUGCUUUGGUGAGGGGCCUUGGUGCAAUUAUGCAGGGCAAGUGUUUAUAUGAAGGUUCCAAGCUUAUUCCUUCAUUUCCCUCACGCUUGCAACAUAAGAGAAAAGCUUCUCUUUCUCUCUCUAAAUCUCUCUCUCUCUCUCUUAGGGUUUGCUCCAAGAGAUGGAGUUGGUGGAGGAGAGCUUGCUUGGUGGUGAAGCUAUCAUCUUCUUCACCCUAGGCUUGAGAAGAAGCUUGAGUUGAGAUAAGCCUCAUGGAUUUUGAGGGUUUUGGAGUUUAGGUUUUGUAUAAUCCCUUAGAUGUGAGUUCUAAUGGAGCCCUAGAUGAAUCUAAACCAUGUUAUAGCAUAAACUACCAUGAGAUUUGGAAUUUUAUGCCAUAUGAGGAUUUUUAGGGUUUUGAAGAGGGCUUUGAUCAUGAUUGGAUUUGAUCUAAAUUCAGCCUAUGUAAACCUAAUUGAAGGUGAAACCGACACGGUGGGCAACUCGAAUCGGAGUUCCUACGGGCAUGCAGCGAGUUAUUGAAGAAAAGUACGAUUUUUGGUUCAUUUGCAUUGGGUCGAGCCGAAACGACGUCCAUAAAUCGCGAGGCUUGGAUUCUCGCACCUCGGCAUCGUAGAGAGGUGGGGUGGUGCUAUCCGAAACAAUCGGAUUUCCUUUUAUGUCUAUGUCAUCAUAUUGGCCAUGUAUACACAGGUGUAGGAUUCAUGCAUUGUAGAAUAGUUUGUAUUGGUUAUUCCAUUCGUUGCAUGCUCUCAUGGUAAAUAUAGAAAAUAUGAGAUGGAACAUAGUGGGUUAUGUGCAUGAGGAUUGGAUUGAGAAUAAGAACUCUAUAAUGCUAUGACAUUGUGAACUUACAAACAUAGUGACAUAAACAGGUGGCAUUUGGAUAGUAAACUGAGAACACUCAUGACAUGAGAAUAGGGAUUGAUAUCUCCCUUGGCAUUUGUUACCACUAAUUGGUAGGGUAUCGUCGGGAUAAAGGAUUGGAUCAUACUCACAUUUUGUCUGUUCGCUUGGCGUUGGUCGCUCCACCCAAGCAGUGGUUUCCGGAGUACUUCACGGUAAGGGUUAACGUAGCUACCCUGCAGACGGUCCCCAAUGGGUGUAGCUGGGCUCCCCAUUUGCUCGAUUCGUGUCACGCCCCGGGACCCUGCAUAGGUCCGCCCGGUGUGUGCCCAGACCCGCCAUAUGCCUGCACAUAUAAGGCGUCUACAAGAAUAGAGAAAUGAAAGCAAGAAGGAGUAAGACAACUAGAGAUAUCAGAGCAACCAGCAGCUAAAAUACUAGUAACAAGUAGAGAGAAAAGAAAACUAAUCCACUAAUAGUAAAACAUAAGGAAAAUACAUCAUCUGUCUCAAAAUACAAAAUGGGUGGUCUCUAUACAUGGUACAACUCUCAACCUCUCCAAAAUAAAACCAAUGAGAGGUAGACCACCUAUCGAUACGUCCCUCGCAAAAGAGCUAGCUCGAGGCGAUGCCCUUUCCGCGAUCCCUAGCCUCGCCCGGUGUGGAAGGCUCUGAAAGGAAACAAGAAACAGGGGGCGUGAGAACUAUAAUUUAUAGUUCCCAGUGGGCAAUUACUGACCUCGGCACAAUGCACCACUAGGCCGAAAAGAGUAAGAUAGGUACGAAAAGCAAUAGAAAUAAACUACAGAUAUUAAAGCAUGUAUAAGCGCUAACUACUAUGCCAUAAGCGUUAAGAUGACAAUAUGUGGCUCAUUCAUUCUAUCAUGCUCAAGUAUGUCCAAUACAUAACUAGUAUGAUCCCAUAUGGCAAGCAAGUAUACUAAAAUGCAAUGAGCGUUAUUAUCAAGUAUACUAUAAGUCCAAAAGCCCAAACCUAUGCUAUAAGCAUGUCCAAGAAACCCGACCACUAUAAUCUAUUUAGUAAUGAUUUUACUUAUGCGACUCCGUGUCGAUUUCCAUUUCCAACGAAGGACCUACCCAAGGUAGUCCGGCUUGUGCCCCCUAAGUACCUGUGGUAGCCCAACAUUCCCACUCGAGGAAUGAGUCUGUCCCACCCGGCCCCAUAGGCUUCUCAAUACCGCACGAGCGAACAUAAGUCGCAUAGGCUAACUCCGGAGUGCCGGCUUGUAGGGAGCGACCCUCACAAGUAUGUGCGAAUGAGCACAAAUAGCAAGCAAGCGUAGUCAUCGUCUCAAAUACCUAAUCAUCAUGUCUCUAACAUGGUAAUAGUCACUAGCAACCCAUCGGUCUAGUCCAAUGUCCAACGUGAAGGUUUAACCAUUCAUUAUGUCCAAUGCCCUUUUAUGGCAUUACAUCUCACUAUGCCGAAAUCUUGUUCCAACACUAAUGCCACUUUAUGACAUUAGGUUUACUAAGUCCACACAUAUUUCAAGCCUAAUGCUCCUUUAUGACAUUAGUUUACUAUACCAAUUCGAAGCCCAAUGUCUCUUUAUGACAUUGGCUUGCUAAUUCACAAAUCACUCUAGUCUAAUGUCCCCUUAUGAUAUUAUCUACUAGGUUCACAUAUGGCCCAAGCUCAAUGUCGCUUUAUGACAUUAGCUCACUAAUUCACAUGAAAUUUAAGUUCCAAGCCACUUCAUGGCCUAAUGUAUUCUCAUAUGUCCAAGGUAUACGAUCAUGGUCAUUUCACUAUAUGAAACAUGAUUUUAAGUCCCGAAUACGAAUGCUAAACUCAUGCAUAAAUCUCACAUGCAAGCUCUCUACUACAUAGAGAUCCAAAAAUACAUUGUAUACAACAUAAGCAUUUUAAGCAUUCUAAAAUUCAUAAAUAAUGCAUCUAACAUAAACAUGCAUGAUUUUUCAUUUUACGAUACUUAAAUCCACAAAAAUGAGAUUUUUUCAUUCUUAGGUGAGAUCAAACCCACCGAGUGUCACGCCCCGGGACCCAGCGGAAGCCCGCCCGGCAUAUGCCCAGACCCGCCAUAUGUCUAAAACAUACAAGGUGUCUAAAACAAAGUGAUAAAUAAAGCAGUAAAAAGAGAACAUCUAGGAGUAUCAAAGCAAGUAUAUCUAGAGGCUACAAUAGAGGAAAAGAACCAUAAAACUAAAAUCCACUAGAUGAAAACAUAAAGUAGUACAAUAGGAAUCCCAAGUACGAAAACUAAGCAAAAUACAUAGGUGGUCUCUAUACAUGAAACAAAAUCUCUCUCUUGCAAUACGACAAAUGAAAGAGAAAGCCACCUAAAAGCAAGCGUCCUCUCCGCUAGCUAUCUACGCGACACCCUUGCCGCGAUCCCUUACCUCCGCCGGUGCCGAAGGCUCUGAAAAGAAACCAUAGAAGUAGGGCAUGAGAACUAUUAAAAAUAGUUUCCAGUGGGCAAUUACUGACUUCAGUGCAAUGCACCACUAGGCCCAAAAGCUACAAAAGAUGGGUCAAUAGAUAGUAAACGAAAACGAUAAGUAAAUAAAUAUACAAGCUUGCUACCACAUUUUUUUACGAUUGGUAUAGCAUCCAACACAUGAGCCGGAUCAUGGAUGUACUUCCGAAGGACCAAUACAUGAAAAAUAUUGUGUACACCCGAUAGGUUCGGUGGUAGAGCAAGUCGAUACGCUACCGGGCCCACACGCUCCAAAAUCUCAUACGGUCCAAUGAAUCAGGGGCUGAACUUACCCCGGAUACCAAAUAUUCCAAUUCUCUUGGUCGGCGAGACUUUCAAAAAGACAUGAUCUCCAAUCUAAAACUCCAAAUCUCGUCGACGCUUGUCAGCAUAACUCUUUUGUCUACUCUGGGCUGUCAACAGUCGCUCCCGAGCAAUACGAAUCUUGUCCUCUACUUCCUGGAGCACAUCGGGGCCUAAAGCCAAUCUCUCGCCAAUUUCGCUCUAAUGAAGUGGCGAUCUACACUUUCGUCCAUAAAGUGCCUCGAAGUGUGCCAUCUUGAUGCUUGCUUGAUAACUAUUGUUAUAAGCAAACUCUGCCAUCGGUAGAUGCUGCGACCAUCCUCCCUGGAAAUCGAUCACAAAGACUCGAAGCAUAUCCUCAAGAGUCUGUAUAGUGCGCUCGGACUGCCCGUCACUCUGAGGGUGAAAAGCUGUAUUGAAAUCCAAGCGUGUGCCCAAGACAUUUUGUAAGCUCCUCCAAAAAUGAGACACAAAACGGGGGUCUCGAUCCGAAACUAUAGAAGUAGGUACCCCGUGCAAUCGCACAAUCUCAUCAAGAUAUACCUGUGCGAGUCUCUCACCAGUCCAAGUAGUGUGAAUAUGUAUGAAAUGAGCCGAUUUCGUCAACCUAUCCACGAUCACCCAAAUAGCAUAAUGCCUGGCCUGUGAGCGAGGCAAUCCCAUCACGAAGUCCAUGUUGAUCUUCUCCCACUUCCACACUGGAAUCGGUAAGUUCUGCAAUUUUUUCGGGGGGACUCGAUGCUCAGCUUUCACCUGUUGGCAAGUUAGACAUCUAGCAACAAACUCACCAACGUCCUUUUCAUCCCGGGCCACCAAUAUAGCAACUUUAAGUCCUUGUACAUCUUGGUGCCUCCCGGAUGGAUCGCAUAGGGUGCACGGUGUGCUUCUUGAAGAAUGUCCUCUUUAAUACCCAAAUCCGCCGGUACACACAACCGCCUGCGGAAACGCAUCAAUCCAACACCGUCCACAGAGAAGUCACCAGUGCAACCAUCAACCAUCUUAGCUCUAAGCCUUUGCAACUCCACAUCGUGAGCUUACUUUUCCUUAAUUCUAUUCAAAAGGGUGGGUUGCACCACCAAAGCUAUCAACCUCAAAGGUGUAUCAGGAGCCACCACCUUCAACUCCAACCGCUUCAUCUGCUAGAUCAAGUGCGGUUGAGUAACCAUAAGCAUCGCUAAGUUUUCCAUCGAUUUCCGACUUAGCGCAUCCGCCACCACGUUAGCCUUGCUCGGGUGGUAAAGGAUCGUCAAAUCAUAAUGCUUGAGGAGCUCCAACCAUCUGCGCUGCCUCAAGUUCAACUCUUUCUGAGUGAAUAAAUACUUUAAACUCUUGUGAUCCGUAUACACCUCACACCGCUCACCAUACAGAUAAUGGCGCCAUAGCUUCAAUACAAAGACUACGUGUAAUAUACCAAAACUUCGAAAAAUAAAUAUCGAACUUUAGUCAAAUUGACCAAAGUGCGAGGAUGGUACACUUCGGAAAGCCCGAAGGUGUUAAAAUGAUCAAAAGUGAGUUACGGGAGGUUUUCGAGAGCUAAAGAAUCAAAUUCUGCAAAACUGCAGAUUUUGAGCUCUCGGGGACCGGUCCCUGGUGGGAGAGACCGGUCCCCGAACGCGUAUGAAAUGAGACAGCCGAAAAAUCGGCUAAGUCCCGGAAGAUUAGCUCUCGGGAACCGGUCUCUGCCUGAGAGACCGGUCCCCCAGAGACCGGUCCCAUCGUAGGGAGACCGGUCGCAUCGCGCGCAGCGACUCUGGCUGCGCAGGGUGGACGUUCGGGAACCGGUCCCUGCUCGGGGAGACCGGUCUCUGCCUGCGCGAUCAGCCCAGUUCGGGCAGCGUAUUAAAGUGAAAGUUGAGGGGUUUAGCUGCAAUUUUGCAACCCAAUAGGCUAAGUAUGAGGGCAAAUGAGAUAUUUCUCUCAUUUCCUCACCCUCUCACACUCUCUUCUCUCCCUCUCUCUCUCUAGAAGACAAAAGAGAAGAAGAAGAAAGGAAGAAGAAAAGGAAAAGAAGAGGAAGAAAGUGAAGAAGAAGAAGAAGAAGUGAAGAAACUCCUUCUCCUUCAUCUCUAGCUUGAAGAAAAGGAAAGCUUGAGGUAAGCUUUGAACCCUAAUGUAGUAAAACCCUAGAAAUGGGUUUGAAUGAACCUAGAAAUGAUUUUUAAUGGAAUGUCUAAUAGUUUUGAAGCUUUCUUUUGCUUCUUUAGAGAUCAAAACCUAGUUUUGCUAUAUAGGUGAGCUUGGACCACCUCUAAUGGUGAAAUCCAAACUAGGGAUUUGGAAAGGCUAAGAAUGGUUCUAAUGGACUAUUUAGAGUGUAAUGAAGCUACUUUUGCUUCUCUUUGAGAUCAAACCCUAGGUUAGAUACAUGUGUUGGAGCUAGGGCACCAAAUUGGGGCUUUUGCUCAUGAGGGUUUCUAAGUGCAAUUGACCCUCUAGAAACCUAAUUGGGGGUAUUUCCGACGCGUUGGUGCGUUCGGAUUAACGUUACGAAAAGCCGAUGAAAAGUUAUGGGCAAAAUGGCCUAAGUUGGCUUCGUUUUGCCGCAGGUAAAGAACGAAGGAUCUAAAAAUCCCGAGAAAAUCGUCGAAGCACCUAAAGAGACCUACAAGGUGGGUGGUGCUUUUCAAACUCAUUGAAAUUCUCUCUAUGCCUAAUGUGUCAUUCUUUGAGCAUAUGUUCUAUAUAUUGUUGCAUGCAUUUUAGGGUAAAGUAAUGAUGAAAUGUGAUGAUUGCAUGAUUGUGAGCACAACUUGCAUAAUGAGAUGGUUGAGAACCUAAUAAUAUCAAAACCCUAGAUGUAUGCAUGAGAGAAAAUGUGAGUACCCAAAGUGAGCAAAAGAACAAAGUGGCACAAUGACAUAGAUCGAGUGGCAUUUGAAAAUGUAAAGUAAAGAGACACUAGAGAUAGUGUGAGGUAAAGAACCAAUGUAAUGUAAAGAAUGCUGAAAAUGAUAAUGCUUAAAGUUAACGCAAUGUGGGAAGUAAAGAACGUGAAAUGCUAGAGGUAGCCAAAAGUAAAGAAUGUAAAGAAUAUAAUUGCUAGAGUUAGCAAAAGUAAAGAACAAUGUAAAGAAUGUGAUUGCAUGAGUUUGCAACAUAAAGUGAUGUAAAGAACACUAGAGCUAGUGUAAAGUCAAGAUUGAACUUAUAAAUCCUUUGAGUUAAGGAUAUGAUCAUGCUUGCUAUGAGUUCCGUGCUCGAGGGCGGUCGCUCCCCCUCGGGCGAUGCGCUCCGGAGUUAUGCAUCCGGGUUGGAGUAGACCCGUAAGGACGGUCCUAGCUGGUGAGUUCCUGCGAUGAUGGACUUAAUGUGAAGCAAGUCGAUGUGGCGAAGCCCCCGGGUUAGCCUUAAUGAUUAAAGAACAAAGAACAAAGAGUAAAGAAUAAAGAACAAAGCACAAAGUAAAGUCAAAGAAUGAAAGAAUUUGCAUAAUCUGCAUUUAUUUAAUGUUGAGCAUACUUCUUGCUUAUUGUUCAGGCAUAUUAGCAUCAUGUUAUAGAUUGGUUACUAUACAGCUUAUUCUUUCUACUAUGCCUGAGUUAGUCCUAGUGGGAAAGUCGGUGAUGUUGAGGCCGAACCCACUGGGAACUUUGUUGUAGUUCUCACCCCACUAUUUCCACAGAGCCGGGACCGAGCGAGCCGGCGAGCGACCGAGGUAAAGGUAUCGCGCCUUAGUCAGAGGCCACCACAGUUGUGUUCAUUUUGUAGUAAAGUACCCUAUGUUCAUCUUUUGUAUAUGAUGAUUAGUGAUGCAAAGAAAAGAAUGUAAUGUGCAUUUUGAGGUAAAUGUGAUGUAAGAAAGAAAUGAUGUAAUGAAUGUAAGAAUUCGAUAAAUUACUAGAAUGCAAUGUAUGUGAUCUAAAAUGAAUCAUAUUACUUGUGAAUGUUUCGUUUCCUUUUUCUUUCACUAAUGGCUAUUGCUUACCCUCGUGUAAGCCGUUUGUGUAUGUUUCCGCUAGUGCUUUUCUCUAUUGAUGAAAAUGUGCAUGUGAUGAGCCUUGGGCGGAUAGGGAAAACUCUGUCCGUUCGGCGUCUGUUUGACGUGCUCGGGUCGGGCCAAAUUGGCAUCGGUCCCGGGGCGUGACACUACGGCCGCCAACUCCAAGUCGUGAGUAGGGUAAUUCCUUUCAUACUCCUUAGCUGGCGAGAAGCAUACGCGAUCACUUUCCCGUCCUGCAUCAAAACACAGCCCAAUCCAUUAAGGGAAGUAUCACUAUAAAUCACAUAUCCUGCUCCCGCAAUUGGCAAGGUUAGGAUCGGGGCAGUCGUCAAUUUCUGCUUCAGCUCUUGAAAGCUUCUUUCACACGCAUCGUUCCAGAUGAACUUAACGCCUUUAUGCAUGAGCCUCAUGAGGGGAGUAGAUAACUUUGCAAAUCCCUUAACAAACCGUCGGUAGUAGCCGGCCAAACCAAUAAAACUCCGUAUCUCGGUAACACUCGUCGGCCUCGGCCAAUCCUUGAUAGCUUCAAUUUUUCUCAGAUCCACGGCUAUAUCCGAUCCAGAAAUCAAGUGGCCCAAAAACGCAACCUCUCUAAGCCAAAACUCACACUUUUUCAAUUUGGCAUAGAGUUUCCUUUCCCGAAGCACUUGAAGUACUAGCCUCAAAUGUUCCUCGUGAUCCGCAUCACUUCGGGAAUGGACCAAAAUGUCGUCGAUGAACACCGCGACGAACCUCUCUAGAUAAUGCUUGAAAACACUGUUCAUUAGAUCCAUAAAAGCUGCCGGAGCAUUAGUGAGCCCAAACGGCAUAAUUGUAAACUCAUAAUGUCCAUACCGUAUUCUGAAAGCCGUCUUCGAUACAUCCUCGGGUGCAAUUUUCAGCUAGUGAUAUCCCGACUUCAAGUCGAUCUUAGAAUAUACACUAGACCCCUGAAGCUGAUCAAAUAGAUCAUCGAUCCUCGGCAACAGAUACUUGUUCUUGAUCUUGACUUUAUUAAGUUCACGAUAGUCCACGCACAAGCAAAGUGAUCCAUCCUUCUUCUUGACAAAUAGGACCGGUGCUCCCCAAGGUGACACACUCGGUCGCACAAAACCCUUAUCUAGAAGAUCUUACAACUGUGCUUUCAGCUCUCUCAAUUUCGCUGGUGCCAUCCUAUAGGGCGCCUUUGAGAUUGGAGUAGUCCCGAAAACAAGAUCUACCACAAACUCAAUCUCUCUAUCAGGUGGCAGGCCUCGUAGCUCUGCUGGAAACACGUCUCCAAACUCCUACACUAUAGGGAUACCCUCGAUCCUAAGGGCGUCAGCAUCACCCCGCAGCAUCACCCCGCAACACGACAGUAGCCAAAUAGGUUACGCAGCCUCUGCUAAUCAACUGUCUAGCUCGAGAGGAGCUAAUCGUCAUCGCAAACAGUGAACUCUGGCAUCCACAGUAUGCAACCUCCUCCUGCCCCGGCUCUCUAAAGGUCACCGUUCGAUUCUUGUAAUCGAUAGUGGUGAAGUACUUGGUAAACCAAUCCAUACCCAAGACAACAUCAAACUCUCCGAGUUUAUGCAAAACUAGAAAAUCUACGGGCAUGAUCCAAUCUCCUACCUGAAUCCGGCAACUAGGGCAAAACUCUCUAAUGUCCAAGGAAUGGUCGGGGACAACAACACGUCCCGGAUGCAACAAAGAAACAAAGGGGAUGCCAUGCAACUCGGCAAACAACCGAUCUAUGAAUGAAUGUGAUGCACCAGGAUCAAAUAAUGCACGGACUCGAAUGCCAUUUAGUAAAAUGAUACCUGCAACCACAUUCUCGGCUGCUGCCGCCUUCUCAGUCUCGGCCACGUACAUGGGCCCACUUGGGGCCUGUCGUGACCCCUCCGUCUGCCACUGAACUGGUGGCCGCCUGGCCUGAUGAUGAGCAGAAUGUGUCCCCUGGUUGGGACCCGGUGAAGCUGGUACCGAUGCUGAUGAUGGCACUGGCACUGGACCCCUCGGGCAGUCCGACUGGAAGUGGCCCUCUUGGCCAUAUGAAAAGCACCUGCCCCGACUGCGUUUAUACUGUCGUGAAAAAUAAGGACCACCGCAGAUCACGCAGCGCAGAGCCUGACGACGAUCAGGUCCUUCUCGCUGAGUAGACGAGCCACGUCCUCGCGACUGGCUCCGGCUCCUGGGAUGCCUCGGCAUCCUCCGUGAGUGCAUCUGACUCGCACCCUCAGCCGCGGGCCUCUUGCCUUUCCCCUUGUCCAAGCCCUCGCGACGCUCCUGCAACUCCACCGCGCCGCUCUCCACAUUGAGCGCGCGGUUCACCACAUCUCUGAAGGUCUGGAGGUUGGAGGACUGCACCAACCGGAAGAUCGAAGGCCGUAAUCCACGCUCGAAAAUGCGGGCCUUGCCCUCGUCGUCCCGCACAACAAAGGGCAUAUAAUGAAGAAGCCGGGAGAACUCCCUCUCGUACUCGGCCACGGUCCUGUCUCCCUGGCGCAUCCCGCGCAAGUCCUGCUCCAUCUUCCUCUUGACACUGUUAGGGAAGUAAUGCGCCAGCAGAAGCUCCUUGAACUUCUUCCAUGUGAUCGCUGCAACGUCGGUGUUGGGAUUUUCCUGAAGAUCCAACCACCAACAAUAGGCCUCGCCGUCCAAGUGGUGUGUGGCGAGCUAAACUCUAUCCCUCUCUUCCACAAGGUAUCACGGAAAAGCUUCUCCAUAUGCAUGAGCCACUUAUCCACAAUCCAGUAGUCCGCGUUCUCCCCGUCGAAGGUCCGCGGACUACACCUCCGGAACUCACUGAGGCGCUCCAUAAGUCGAUCCCGCUCAGCUCCCUCAACCAUCACGGGAAAAACUGCCCCCGCCAAAGGCACCUGAGCUGGUGGUGCCGCAAACUCCUCUCGAGGUGCAACAACCGGUGCUGUUCUCGAAGUACCGAGCUCUAGAGACGGUGCCCUCGGUGUCAUGACCACUGCCGGCGGGGGUGGGGGUAUGGGCACUUGUGCCCCCCUAGCAGCCACCUGCUGCACGAGCAACUCCUCUAGGCGCUCUAUCCGCGCCUCCUGCCCGCGCGCUGCAUCCGCUUGCUGCUGAGCCGCCGCCGCCUGCUGCACGACCAAGUCAGUGAGGGCCGCAAGCUGGCUCCUCAACUCACGACCUCGCCGGAUCCAGAAGUAGCGGAGGUCUCGGCCUCCUCAAAGUUUGCCGCGUUGUCCGCUCCAACAGACUUAGAGCGUGUCGUCGGCAUAAUCACUACAGCAUCAUAAAAGCGCAAGUAGUAAAACCCACGCUAUCGCAACCCCGCUCAACAAAAUGUACCCAAAUCAUGCGAAAGUAAGGAAGUGUUCUCUACUACUAACUCCCGAUGUUACGUUGUCGGCUGCGAACGUAACCCUCCGCGAAGUUAGAAGCUAAACACUCCAAUUAAAUUCUAACUAUUUAUAGUUAUUAUAAUACCCAAUCAUGAUACUUUCGCUCAUUAAUUAAAUAAACCUCGUCUCUCACGAGCCUAUUUCCUAUAGUCUAACCGGCCUAAGGUUUAUUAGGUCCACUAAGACUAAACCCUAGGCUCUGAUACCAAAUUAAUCUGUCACGCCCCGGGACCCGGCAUAGGCCCGCCCGGUGCAUGCCCAGACCCGCCAUAUGCCUGCACAUAUAAGGCGUCUACAAGAAUAGAGAUAUGAAAGCAAGAAGGAGUAAGACAACUAGAGAUAUCAGAGCAACCAGCAGCUAAAAUACUAAUAACAAGUAGAGAGAAAAGAAAACUAAUCCACUGAUAGUAAAACAUAAGGAAAAUACAACAUCUGUCUAAAAAUACAAAAUGGGUGGUCUCUAUACAUGGUACAACUCUCAACCUCUUCAAAAUAAAACCAAUGAGAGGAAAACCACCUAUCGAUACGUCCCUCGCAAAAGAGCUAGCUCGAGGCGAUGCCCUUUUCGCGAUCACUAGUGUCACGCCCCGAGCCCCAUCUAUUUGGUCAGGUUCGGGCACGCCGACAGACCGCCGAACGUACAAAGUGUAAUAUACCGAAAAUUCGAAAAAUUAAAAAAAAAUAUCGAACUUUAGUCAAAUUGACCAAAGUGUGAGGACAGUACACUUCGGAAAGUCCAAAGGUGUUAAAAUGAUUAAAAGUGCAUUGUGGAAGGUUUUCGAGAGCUAAAGAAUCAAAUUCUGCAAAACUGCAGAUUUUGAGCUCUCGGGGACCGGUCCCUGGCGGUGGUGCAAUCGGAACGGGCCCACCAUUUCUUAUCAGUUCAGUAUUAGGAACUCAUCGAGGUUGGUAGACGCGACGGAGUUCAAGUUGAGGAAGACUCACUUUUCUAUGAAAUUCGAGAACACUAGGCAUAUAUGAAGCGUAGCGAGCGGUAUCUCCAUUACCGCGGUAUCGAAGUUACGUUUCUGAUGCCGGCGGUUGAGGUUCAGUACUCAUCCCAUUAAGGAAAGUAUUAGGAAGUUAACCGCUUUACGUAUGCGCUAGUGAAAAGGCAGGACGUAGUUUUGUGUCGGGUUAGGUAAUUUGCUUCGUAGUGAUAUUUAGUGUAUGGGACGAGGUCGUCAGCCGUUCCAUUCCUAGCCCCGUUAGCAGUUAGCGACGAAGUUGAGAACUUUCGAGGAAAGUGUUCGUAAUAAGGUUUACUUGAAUCAAGGAAAUACGCACUCGGAGCACUCCCCUCAUCUAUUGAAACGUUUAGGGAGUUGUUUGGCAGCCAUCAUCGGCCGGUUUGGUUACUUCGAGGCUUAGAGCCAGUGUGAGCAGCCGGAGCCGGUUAGGAACUAUCGAAACCCAUUCCCGCUACACCAGCGACGGUCUACUGAUUCAGUGCUGAACUUGGUAACAACCUACACUACGCUACUCAAGCGGCGGUCUACCGAUUCAGUACUGAAAUCAGUAACAACCCAAGCUACGCUACUCAAGCGGCGGUAUACCAAUUCAAUCUCCACGUCAUCCGACACUGCCGUCGAUCCGACACCACGUCGGUCACGCGUCUGAUAAGCGCCUACUAACUGAGCUCCAACUCAGCCUACCAAUCGAACUAAUCCAAUUACCUUUGGAUAUUCGAUCACUAUCUUCGUUCUCGUUUCCAUUAUCUCUGGAAUCUUCGUUCACCGUGAACUCAACACUUGGAUUCUAUCAUCUUUGGAAUCUUAACUUACUGUACUCGAUUUCAAUCGUUUCAACUUGUAUUUUAGUUAUCUAGAUGAUCAACUAAUGUAUAUAAGUAUAACGUAUAACGCUCCGUACAAUGACGAUCAACGUAUUAAUGUAAUGCUAUAUAUAUAGACAUCUACAAACACCUGAUUGUACUAACGUCACGGAGGAACCUGGAUAGCUAGAACGAAAAGGGAAUCCACCGGCAUGGGUGACCCUUGGUACCUCAAGCAAGAGUGGGGUGCAACAAAACCCCACAAUGUCCAAGCGUGCACUCGCCGCGCCGCCGCGCUCCGUUCCGCAUCGAGGUAUCUAUCGCGGGAUGGGUUCUCUGGUCUCUGUCGCCAUGGGGCUCAGCCGUAUCAGAUCCCCAUAUCCUUUCCUUUUCUUUGUGUUACAUAGUUUAAACAUUAUAAUUAACAUUAUUGAAUUAACGUAAACCUUCAACUUACAUUACAUUUUACUUAGAUUACCCUUACGAACAUUAUUGUAUCCUACACAAUACAACAAACUAUGGAAGGAAUACAUUAGAACAUACUUAUGACAAGAACAAAACUUGGAGAACAUAACAUGAUUAACGCUGCGGAUCCUGCAUGUCCCCUCCGAAACACAGUGCGGGGCCCUGGCUAUGGUUAAACCGGGCUGGGCUCGUGCAGUUUGUCUGCGGCUUGCCUGUCUCAAAAGGGAUAGGCGGGUUCCGAGUAGUGUACAUGUAAAAGUAGUUAUCUCUUUUCAUGAUCGCCUUCGUAUGUGUUUGCCGAAUGCGUUCCCAUUCGUUAUCGGUAGUCACUUUCUUUCCUUUUGAUUUGUAAAUAUUCAUGAUACUAAGUAAAAACUAGUAUAUGUAACGUAAGUAGAACAAGUAAAAGUUUAAGGAAUGUAAAGUAAAGUAGUAAAGAAAGAAUGUAGUGUAAAUGGAGUUUUAUGUGUAAUGUAAGAAAAGAAAUGUAGUAAAUGGUAGUACAUGUUUUCUACUAGCAUCCCAUGAAAUGAUGUUUUACUUUGGGUUGAAACCACCGGAGACUGAUUCCGCGCUAUGGAAAUGGAGCCAGCGAGCGGCCGAGCGAGCCAGGGCCGAGACACCUUUAUCACCCCACUCUUGAUGUUGUUUCAAGGAUCACCCAAGCCGGAGUUGUAGUGGCUGAAAAGGUGAUCCUGAUUGAGUCCGUAUUAUCUUUCUUAUUCGACGUAUAUCAUUGGUUAGAUAUGUACUACGAUUAUACGGACUUGUUAUUUCGUUCCUCAUACGAGUUGUAAUUUAUUUACGUCUAAUACGUUUAAGAAACAAGAAAAGUAAAAUGAGAAACAAGAAACAAGAAACAAGAAACGUGAAACAAGAAACGAGAAACAAGAAAUUAGAGUUCCGAUUGGGCCCGCAUAGCGGUGUAAUUGAACGAAGUGUAAUUCAGGUAGUAGCGUCCUUGAGUGGGCGAUCCUGGCAGGAAGCCCAAAUGAGGUUGGGCACUACGUAUUGAGGCCUCGCGUAGCGGGCUCCCCCUCGCUGGCGGGAGCUCGUGCCUUGAGUAUCGUUCAUACUAGUAUAGGAAUUGAGUUUCCUAAAUAUUCAAGUUAGAACUGAAAUGUGAUCGAGAUCACAAGUAAUGUAAUGAAAUACAACGUUUGAGUACGUUAGUGUAGGAAAUGUAUAGAAAUGAAGACGAUCGAGAUCGUAAGAACAAGCAAUGUAAGGAGCAAGAAUAACGGGGUGAAAUGAAAUUGAAAUGUGUAACAGUAAAAGUAGUAAGAAAUGUAGUGAAAUCAAGAAACCGAGUGUGAUUAUCCAGUAAAACGAGUAUAGAAAAGUAGCCGAAAAGCAUUGCAAUUAAGCUCGUGUGGUUGCGCAGCCUUUAUGGGGGUUAAUCCAAAAAUCUCUCAGUUAACGUGAAUCUUUAAGGGUACUCGUUUUCGGGGUUAAACCACGGGAUUGAGGUUAUGUGUACAGUUUGAAUCCCAAACUAGAGUUUCUCUUCGUUUUCAUCGAAGUAAUACGAGAUCUCUCAAGUAGAUUUGGUAAGGAUCGAGUAAGGUUUGGGAUCAAACCUAAAGUGGUACUCUCCACCCAACUUCGAGUGGAACUCGAGUUGGUACUAAAACUAGAGAUUUCUUCAUUUUCUUUUCGAAGUUUCUGAGAUUUGUUAGGUAAUUUUGGUAAAGAUCCAAAUAAGUUUCGGAUAAAAUCCCAAAAUCAUACUAUCCCAAGUUUCGAAUGGAAUAUUCGAAAGAGAAAGAAGGUGAGAUCUCCUUCCUCUACUUCAACGAAGUGGAGAACUAGAAGAAGAAGUGGAAGAAAAGGAAGAAAAGGAAGGAAAGAAAGAAAGAAAAAGAAGAGGAAACAGAAGAUCUCUCUCUCCCUCUCUACUCUCACAAACUCUCCCACUCUUACUCUCUUAUAGAGUAAACGGGAGUAUUGUAUCGAGUAACCCAACGUAUUAACGUCGAUUUGGGGAGUUGAAAAUGAAAGAAUGUGACGGACCUGACCCGACAAGCGCGUCCGCCCCUGGCCAGAGAGGAAGUCCCUGGCCAAGGGCUUCCAGCAGGCUCGCGUCGGUCUCGACGACGCGCGUCACGUUGGCCAGAGAGGAAUCCACUGGCCAGAGAGCCCCUGGCCAGAGAGUCCUUCCCUGGCCAAGGGCUCUCGAUCAAAGAGUCCUGAAUCGGCUAAAAAGCCGACAGAGUGAAGUAUGCGCAAGCUCCUGGCCAGAGAGGGCNNNNNNNNNNNNNNNNNNNNNNNNNCGACCUUCGGGGAACCGUCCUGAAGGAGAGACGGCUUCCCCGCCUGCUGGCGAACUGCCCAGUUCCGGCAGUUGUAUUUAAAGUGAAACGUUGAGGGUUUAUUUGCAAUUAUGCAACCCAAUAGCUAUGUUAAUGCAGGGCUAAUGAAGAUUUUCUCUCAUUCACCCACUCAAAACACUCUUCUUCUCUUCCCCACUCUCUCCUAGAAAGGCAAAGGAGAAAGAUAAGAAAGAAAGAAAGGAAGGAAAAGAAGGAAAAGAAGGUGGAAGAAGAAAUCAAGGAGGUGAAGCAACUUCAUUUUCUUCCUCUCUAGUGCAAGAAAGGAAAGCCUUAUAAGUGACUUUGAACCCUUAUUGCUAGUAAAACCCACAAAGGGCUUUUUGGAAUAAACCUAGAAAUGGUUUAUGGCAUUGUUUAGAGUUUUUGACUUUCUUUUUGCUUUCUUUAGAGAUCAAAGUCAAUGGUUUACUUGAGGUGAGCGUUGGCCACCUUCUAAUGGUGAAAUACCAAUACUAGGGUUUGGAAUGAGCUAAUUGGGAGAAUGGUUUAGAUGAACUCUUUAGAGUAUAUUUGGAAGCUACUUUUGCUUUCCCAAUGAGACAAACCUAGAGUUUGAUUGUAUGUAUUCGAGCAUAUCGGCACCAAAAUUGGGGCUUUUGCUUAUGGGAAUUUUCUAAGUGCAAUUGACCUUCUAGAAACUAAUUGGAGGGAUAUUUCUCGACGCGUUGGGGCUGUGAUUAAUGUUACGAAAAGCCAACUGUAAUUAAGUUAUGGCCAAAUAGCCUAAUCUUGGCUCGUUUCUGCCGACCAGGUAAAGAACGAGGAAGUCUAAAAUCCCAAGAAAAUUCAUCGGACACCUUUGAAAGCCUACGUAGGUGGGUGGUGCCUUCUCAAACCUCGUUGAACUUCCCUCUAUGCCAAUGUCAUUCAAUUGACAUAUGUUACAUACUUAUGUUGCAUGCAUUUUAGGUAAGUGAUGAUAAAAUGUGAUGUUGCAUGAAUUGUGAUACAACUUUCAUAAUAUGAUGCAAUGAGAACUAUCUGAUGUGAAAAACCCAAUGUGUAUGCAUAGAGAGUAAAGUGAGCCCCCAAAGUUGAGCAAAAGAAACAGGCUGACAUUACAAUGACAUAGAUCAAUGGCAUUCGAAACGUAAAGUAAAGGACACUAAGUUAGUGUGAGUCUAAGAACCAAUGAAUGUAUGUAAAGAAAUGAUGAAAAUGACAAUAUGUAAUUUAAAGUAAGGAAGGGCAAUAAACGAGAAAUGAUAAGAACAAGAAUGCUAAAGAAAACAAAGUUAAAGAAAAGUAAACGAACAACGAUUAGCUGAGUGGCAACAUAAGUGAUGUAAUAAACACUAGAGAGUAGUGUAAAGUCAAUGAUUGAACUUAUAAAUCCUUUUGAGUUAAGGAUAUCGAUCAUACUUGCUUAUGAGUUCGUGCUCGAGGCAGGUCGCUCCUUCUGCGAUGGCGGCUCCGGAGUUAUGCAUACGGUUGGGAUAAACCAAGGAACGUCUAGCGGGCUGAGUUCCUUGCGAUGAUGGACUUAAUGUGAAGCAAGUUAAUUUGGGCGAAACCCCGGUUUAGCCUUGAGAUGUAAAGAAUAAAGAACAAGAGCAAGGAAAAGAACAAAGAUGCAAAGAGCAACAGGACAAAGAACAAAGUGUAAAGAUUAAAGAAAGAAGAUAUUGCAUAAUCUGCCAUCUUAUUUAUUGUGGUGCAUAACCCUUGGCCUUAUUUGUUCAGCAUAUUCAUCAUGAAAUAGAUGGUUAUAUAUUGCAGCUUAUUCUUUAUUAUUAUGCCUGAGUUAUAAGCUAGUGGGGAAAGUCCGUGAUGUUGAGCGAACCACUGGGAAUUUGUUUAGUUCUGCACCCCGCUAUUUCACGAAGCCCCGGGACGAAGCGAGCGCGCGAGCAGACCGAGGUAAAGGUAUCGCGCGCCUUGUCAGAGGCCACAAAAGUUGGUUUCAUUCUAUGUAGUAAAGUACUACGAUCAUCUUUGUACAUGAUGGUAAAUUGAUGUAAGAAGAAGAAAAGAAUGUAAUGUGUAUUUUGAGGUAAAUGUGAUGUAAGAAAGAAAUGAUGAAAUGAAAUGUAAGGAAUUUGAAAAUGAACAAGAUGAAUGCAAUGUAUAUGAUCAAAAAUGAAUCAUAGUACUUAUAAAUGUUUAGUUUUCCUUUCUUUCACUGAUGGCUAUUGCUUACCCUUGCGUAAGCCGUUUGUGUAUGCUUCCGCUAGUACUUUUCUCUAUUGAUGAAAAUGUACAUGUGAUGAGCCUUGGGCGGAUAGGGAAAACUCUGUCCGUUCGGCGUCUGUUUGACGUGCUCGGGUCGGGCCAAAUUGGUAUCGGUCCCGGGGCGUGACACAAAGCCUCCCCUGUACGUCCUAGGCGUCGCAAUUAGUACAAUACAAGAGGUUCAAAACAAGAACAGUAUUCAUACAAGAUUACAUAAGGAAGGUAUCAAACAACAUAACACAUCCUAUGUUAUUACAAGCAUUCCCAUUAGAUUCAUUUUACAUUACAUUCAACUUCCAAAUGCAAUUAAGUUAUUACAAUUAAUAUUACAAAUUUGAUACAUUGUGUUUCUUUUCCUUUCCUAUACCCCUAGACUAUGCCGACUCGGGGUACCGCUGUCUCUGGUCUCUUGGGUAGGGCGCUAUCUAUGGAGCUACGCCUUGCCUCGCGCCGCCGCGCCGCUCACGUGCGAACCUGUAACACCCCAAAACAACGUGGGGUGAGAACGAACUCCAUGGUUCCCAGUGGGUACGGCCACCUAAGGGAAAAGCAAGAUCGAUAGGUCCAAGGAGGCACUGCAAUCAUGUUAGUCCACAAACAUCUACAGAUAUAUAUAUCGUAAUGUAAUUAUGCAACUAGCAGUAACAUGCCUCGCAAUAUGCAAUAUGAAUAUAUGUAAUCAACUAGUAGAUCUAUUGAUUUUAUGUUCAACUUUGCUAACUUUAGCUCAUGUCAUUCAAUUCUAAGGUUUCUACUAUCUUAGGUUCACAACUCAAGUGCCACUUGCUUCUAAGGUCUCUAUUACCUUUGCUCUUGCUUCUAUCACUAGCUUAUAGGUUUCCAUUAACCUAAUCAAGCUAACCAUCCGACUCAACCUCGAGUCAAUCAUCCGCGAAUAGUCUGCGCACUGGCUGCACCACAGCCUAGCUGCCGUCACAGCCUACUGCACCUCUAACUUAACCAUAUGGCGGCGAACUCAUCGCAUCGAACCCAACAAUGACUAAAGUCAUGACUUAGCCAUCUGGCGGCGAACUCAUCGCAUCACAUCCAACAAUGGUUCAAGUCGUGACUUAGUCAUCUGGCAGCGACCACAUCGCCCUUACCCAAAGCUAUCAAGGAUUGGCCGAGGCCGACGAGUGUGACCGAGAUUCGGAGCUUCAUUGGUUUGGCCGGCUACUACCGACGGUUUGUUGAGGGAUUUGCAAAGUUAUCUACUCCCCUCACGAGGCUCACGCAUAAAGGAACUAAGUUCAUUUGGAAUAAUGCUUGUGAAAGGAGCUUUCAAGAGUUGAAGCAGCGAUUGACGAUUGCCCCGAUCCUUACCUUGCCGACUGCUGGAGCAGGGUAUGUGAUUUAUAGUNUUGUGCUUGUACCGGUACAAGGUUGAUGGUUGUAUCGGUACAGCCAUCGGAGCUUGUACCGGUACAGAGCCGCAGAGCCCAGCAACCCGAGCCUCGGGUUUGGAUUUCGUGGACCUUGUACCGGUACAAGGGUCCGUGUACCGGUACAAGGCGGCAGAUUUUGAGCAGUUCGAAACUGCAAGGGCUUUUUCGCGAUUGUAGCCUCUCUAUAACAGCACCCUCGCCCCUAGGGCUUUUCUUAUGCUGGAACCACAGGGAAACAAGGUGAGGAGCCCAUCCAUUCCCUCAUUUUGAUUUUCCUUGGUUAUAUUGGAGAUUUUUGAGGAUUAAUGCCUCAUUUUGCUUCUUGUUGCAUCUUGGAGGCUUUUUCCACCAUUGGAGAGGACUUGGAGCUUUGUUGGAGGCUUGUUGGAGGAAAGAUCUUCCACCCCAUUUGAUUUGGAGCCCAAGUUGAGACUUCUAGAGAGGUUAGCAACAUGAUUUGAGCUUUUGAUCCAUGUUUUGCUAAGUUUUUGAGAUGAAACCCUAGAUUUGAUACUUAGGGCUUAUUUUGGGUAUUUUGAAUCUAGGGCUUUUGGGGCUAAAUUAGUUGGUUUAGAACCUUCCUUGGGCUUGGAGUGGAAGGGUUCUAGCUCUCUUUUAGAGCUUUGGAAGAGAUUUCUUCUCUUGAGGUGAGAUUUGACCCCUUUUGCUUCUAGGUUAAUGUUUGAUAUUAUAAGAUGAUCGUAAUGCCCGUGUAUCUUGUCGCUCAAUACUUUUAGGGUAUUUUGAGACUCGGGGACAACUUUGUUUGGCGAAACGAGGCACUACGCGACGGUUCGGUGGGUUUGACCUAGCCUAUAUAUGAGAAAUUCUCAUAUAUGGUUAUAUAUGUUCCGUAAAUUGAAAAAGCAUGCAUGUUCAUACUAAAUGUAUUUAUUAUGAUUUUUAGAAUGCUUAAAAUGUAUAUGUUACAUAUGAUAAAAUUUUGGACCUCUAUGUAGUAGAGAGUUGCUUGGGAGAUCUAUGGUUGCAUUUAGCAUUCUUUAUGAGACUUGGUUCCAUGUUUCUAUAGUGUAAAUGAGUUCGGAUUCAUGCAUUUAAACUUAAGUUUACUUGUGACAUGAAAGAUGACAAAAUUGCCAUUUAGAAGGUGUGUGAACUAGAGAGCUAAUGUCAUCAAGCGGCAUUGAGCUCGGGACAUGUGUGAACCUAGUGGAUAGGGCCAUUGAGGGAUGUGGAACAUGCUUAAACAUUAAAUGUCUAAGUAUCAUAAAGGGGCACCAGACCUAGAGAAUGUUGGAACUUCAUUUGUGACUUAGAACUAGAUCUUCCAAAUGCUAGUGACUAUACCAUGUUAGAGACAUGAGGGUUGGAUACUUGAGACUUGGACUAUGCUUGCUUGCCAUUUGUGCUCAUUCGCACAUGCUUGUGAGGGUCGCUCCCUACAAGCCGGCACUCCAGAGUUAGCCUUCGCGACCUAUGUUCGCUCGUGCGAUAUUGAGAAGCCUACGGGGUCGAGUGGGACAGACACAUUCCAAGAGUAGGGAUGUUGGGCUACCACAGGCACUUAGGCGGCAUAAGCUGAACUACCUUUGGUAGGUCCUUGAUUGGAAAUGAAAAUCGACACGGUGUUGAAAAUGAAUAAUCGCUACUAAAUAGGCUUAGUAGUUGGAUUAGGUGACAUGCUCAUGACAUAGCAAUGAGGUCUAUAGUACACUUGCCGGUUUCAUGCAUUGCAUCAUAGUAUACUGGGUUAUCUUGAUAGAGCGUACUCCUUAUAUUUUGGCAUAUGGUAUUGUGAGGUUUACUUCUUCAUUUUGUUGAGGCAUAUUAGUAUGCAUUGGAUAUGUUACUUUAUGAUAGCGUAGAUGUACACCACCAUGACAUCAUGCUUAUUGGAGACAUAGUAGUAUAGCAUUUCAUUCAUGUUUUCUUUCAGCAGUUUUUGUGUUCGCUAUUUAUUGCAUAUUACUAUAUGUCGUUACUUACCCUUUUCUUCUGGGGCCUAGUGGUGCAUUGAGCUGAGGUCAGUAAUUGCCCACUGGAAACUAUAAAUUAUAGUUCUCACGCCCUCUUUUUCUCGAUGUUUUUCAGAGCCUUCCACGCAGGGUGAGGCCAGGAAUCGCGGGAAGGGAGUUGCUUCGAGCUAGCUUCCUUCGAGGAUGAGUUGCUAGGUGGUCUACCUCUCGAUGUUUACUUUUUGGCGAGAGGUUGAGGGUUGUACCAGUGUACUAGAGACCACCAUUUUUGUACUAGAGACAGAUAUUGUACUACUUAUGGUUUUUUUUAUUGUCUAGCUUUAUUUCUAUACUUUGGUGUAGAUGAUAGAACUUUACUCGCUCUGAUAUCAUUAGUUGCUAGUUAUUUCACUUCUUUUAUUUGUUCUAUCUCUUGUUUACUUCCGCUUUUGUUGUAGAUGCCUUAUAUGUGUAGACAUAUGGCGGGUCUGGGCACGCUACCGGGAGGGCCUUCGUCGGUCCCGGGGCGUGACACCUGUGGUAGCCCGACAUCCCUACUCUUGGAAUGUGUCUGUCCCACUCGACCCCGUAGGCUUCUCAAUAUCGCACCAGCGAACAUAGGUCGCGAAGGCUAACUCUGGAGUGCCGGCUUGUAGGAAGCGACCCUCACAAGCAUAUGCGAAUGAGCACAAAUGGCAAGCAAAUAUAGUCCAAGUCUCAAGUAUCCAACCCUCAUGUCUCUAACAUGGUAUAGUCACUAGCAUCUCGAAGAUCUAGGUCUAAGUCACAAAUGAAGUUCCAACAUUCUCUAGGUCUAGUGCCCCUUUAUGACACUUAGACAUUUAAUGUUUAAGCAUGUUCCACAUCCCUCAAUGGCCCUAUCCACUAGGUUCACACAUGUCCCGAGCUUAAUGCCGCUUGAUGACAUUAGCUCUCUAGUUCACACACCUUCUAGUUCAACAACUCUAAAUGGCAAUUUGGUCAUCUUUCAUGUCACAAGUAAACUUAAGUUUAAAUGCAUGAAUCCGAACUCAUUUACACUAUAGAAGUAUGAAACCAAGUCUCAUAAGGAAUGCUAAAUGCAACCAUAGAUUUCCCCAAGCAACUCUCUACUACAUAGAGGUCCAAAAUUUCAUCAUGUAUAACAUAUGCAUUUUAAGCAUUCUAAAAAUCAUAAUAAAUACAUUUAGUAUGAAUACGCAUGCUUUUCCAAUUUACGGAACAUAUAUAACCAUAUGUGAGAAUUUCUCAUAUUAUAGGCUAGGUCAAACCCACCGAACCGUCGCGUAGUGCCUCGUUUCGCCGAACAAAGUUAUACACGAGUCUCAAAUCACCCUAAAAGUAUUGAGCGAAGAGAUACACGGGCAUUACGAUCAUCUAUAAGAUCAAACAUUAACAAUUAUAGCACAAGGGCUAAAACUCACCUAAUGAGUGGGAAAUCUCUCCCAAGCUCCAAAAGAGAGCUAAAUCCCUUCCAAUCCAAUCUAGGAAAAGGUUCUAAUCCAAAAGAUUUAGCCCCAAAAGCCAUAGAAUCAAAAUGCCCAAAAUAAACCCUAAUUCACCAAUCUAGGGUUUCAUCUUGAAUCCAUCAACAAAAAUCAAAUUUAGAGGGAGAGAGCAAGUAGAUUACCUCUUAGAAGCUCCAAUCCAAGCUCUAAGCUCUCAAAGUCCAAGGAUCUCCCCUCAACAAAGCUCCAAAACAAAGCCCCAAAGGUGGAAAAGCCUCCAAUCAAGCAAAAGAAGCAAAAGAGAGGUUUAAUCUCUUAAAAUCCUACCAAAAUCCAAAUAGAUCAAAAGGAAAUCAAAGAGGGCUCUCUUACCUCUCCUCUUGCUGGUCCCAAGCUCAGGAAAAGACCCCUAGGACGUGGGGGUACUAAUAAAAAGUCCACAAUCGCAAAAAGCCCCCUGCAGUUCAAACUGCAUGAAAUCAGCCCCCUUGUACCGGUACACGGGCUCUUGUACCGGUACAAGGUCCACGAAAUCCAAACCCGAGGCUCGGGUUGCUGGGCUCUGCGGCUCUGUACCGGUACAAGCUCCGAUGGCUAUACCGGUACAACCAUCAACCUUGGUACAAGCACAACCUUGUACCGGUACAAGCCCGCCAGAACUCAAUCCGAGAGUGAGCCAAAUCCCGUUUUCUCGGGUUUUGGUGCAAGGCUUUGUACCACAAAUCUCGGGACACGUGCCAUAGGUCGGAACACAGUCAACGACCCACUAGAAAAUCUGGAAAAGAUCAGAACACGGCCAAUCACUCGAACCUCGCAAUUUGCAAAGGUCUAGUGUGUUACAAAAGUACUCUCUUUAUUUCACUUGUAUAUCUUGUGGAUUACUUGCUCUUCUUGUUGUUGGCACUGUUUGUGCCCUCGUUGAAUGUGUAUGUUUAGAAUUUAAAGUCCUGGGUAAAUUCUUGUACACAUUCCUGUCGUUGAGCCUUGGGCGGACAAGGGAGGUGCUGUCCGUUUGGCGGUCCGUCGCUGCGGCCGAAUCGUGCCAAAUUGGUAGUGGUUUCGAGGCGGGGCGUGACAAUGUCAUAUGCACUACAUGCAACAUGAUCUCAAUCAAAUGUAAGAAUGCUAACUAUAUGCAAGGUUCCAAAUAUGAACAGUUCUCUACUACAUAGAGGUCCAAUGUACUUUAUACAUAAUAUGCACAUAUUAAGCAUUCUAAAAUUCUCAAAUAUUCUAUCUAGUAAGAAUAUGCAUGCAUUUUUAUUUUACGAAAAGUAAAACCCAUUAUAGGGAUGAUUUAUCCCAUUUUGGUGAGGCCAAACCCACCGAGAGUUCCACUCGGCCUUCGUUUGCGCCGACGAAGGUGCCCACAAGCUUCCUAGCCCCCUAAAGGUUAAAGUAGGAGCGAUACACAAACGUUACGAACAACGAAUAGGUUAAACAUUAACCAACUCAACAUAAGGCUAAAAACUCACCGAAUGCGAAGGGUGCUCUUUCGAUCUCCAAACGGGAGUUAGAGCCCUUCCAAACCAACCUACACGAAGGUUCUAAACCCAUCAAUUGGGCUCCAAAAGCCCUAGAUCAAAAAUUCCCAAAUCAAACCCUAAAUCCUCAUUUCUAGGAUUUCUAAACAAAAAUAAAGUAAAAUAUGAAUCUAAUGAGAGAAACAUGUUACCAACCUUUAUAGAAGCUCCCAACUAGGCUAGAAGUCAACUAGGGUUGAAUAUCUCUCCUUCAACAAGCUCAACUCCAAGCCUCAAGCUUUCUCCCAUGGUGGAAAUAGCACCAAGUAGCAAAAAGGAGCAAAAAGAGAGGAUUAAACCUCGAAAAAUUCCAACAAAAAUAAAGAAAAUCAAAGAGGGAGAAUACAGAGCUCCCUUACCUUCCUCUCCACUGGUUCCAAGCUCAAGGAACACCAGGGGGCGUGGGGUACUAAUAUAGUGAAGUUACAAUCCCAAAAACAACCCUGCAGUUCAAGCAGUCUGCGGACUACACUGUGUACCGGUACACGUGGUUGCGUACCGGUACACACCCCACGAAAAUGCGAAACCCGAGCCUCGGGUUGGCUGAGAAGCUGCCUGUGUACCGGUAUACGGCCCCGCGUACCGGUACAACCAUUACCCCGUACCGGUAUAGCCAUCAACCAUGUACCGGUACACAGCCUGCUGAAGGCUACCCGAGAGCACACCAAUAAUCCAACUUUUUGGGUUUUGGUGCAAAGUUUUAAACCACAAAUCUCAGGAUACGAGCCAUAGGUCGGAACACUGUCGAUAACCCUCAAGAAUAUCUGAAAAAACUCAGAUUACACAUCAAACACUCGAACCUUGCAAUUUGUAAAAGCCCAGUGUGUUACACACAUGAUAUCAAGUUCAUUCGAACUCUAACACAUAUACUUAGAGUUCAUCCGACUAACUCUAAUACAUGCCCUUAGGGUCUGGUUAACCUUUUACUCUAGCACAUAUACCUGGAGUGGAAGUCAAACCAUGCUCAACUAGUCCUAACACAUACACUUAGGGCCUAGUCAGCCUUUUGCUCUAGCACAUCUAUCUAGAGUGAAAUCCAUAUCCGAUCGAGCUCUAAUACAUAUACUUAGAGCUUAUGUAAAUCAAAUCCGACGAAACCUAACAUAAUAACUCAAGGCUUAGUCAGAUCCUCACUCUAGCACAUAUAACUAGAGUGAAAAAUAUAUUAAACUCGGUUAAUCCUGAUAUAUACACUCAGGAAUUAGCCACUCUCUACUUUCGGGUAAUAUCAAAUCCAACCUACCUCAAUACAUAUACUUGGGGUUUGGUCACUCUAAGACAUAUACUUAGAGCCAAUUAGACUCUAAUACAUAGAGUUUAAUAUUGACUAGGUCUUAACACAUAUACUUAGGACCUAGUCAAUUUCAAAUUCAACUGAAUCCUAAUACAUAUACUUAGGAUUCAAUAAACCAAGAUACGAUUCAUUCAAUUCCAUCUAUAAAGGUCUCUUAAUCGAAGGUGCCCCAAUUUACAGGGGGUAAUUAACAAUAGAUGCUUGCAUCUAUUGGAAGCCAUGAAUCCGUAAUACCUGAUACCCACAUACAUAUAGAUACUCAUCUGAAUCAUGAAUACUACCCCACGGCCUAAAAUCCAUCGACCGUGCGAGGUGCGUCAUUCAUGGUGGCAGACAAAAUGGCACGCCCGGUGGGACAUGACUUCUCCUUCCAUCUUCGAGACCUUAAAAAAAAAAAAGAAAAAAAGAAAAAAAGAAAAGGUUGUGAAAAUUAUUCCUAACCUCUACAUUUUUCCACAAGGAAAUGGCACCAACAUCAAAGAACGUUGUCGCUGCAUCAACAAACUCAAUAAUACUGGAGGCGGGUUCGCGAGUCUGCUUGCCCACAUCCGUCCUGACAUUCGGAACUGCAGGUGCCUCAAUCCAAUUUGGCACCAUUCCGGAAGAUAUUCGAGCUGCUGUCAUGGAUCAAAUUCCUGCUGCUACUGGGGGCAUGACCACUCCCGUCGCCCCUUCACAGGAUGUAUCCAAUGUGGUCAUUCCUCAGCUGCCAUCUCGAGGAAGACGACCCAAUGUGGUCAUCCCCAACCCUCCUCGCCGACCAAUAGGCGAACGAUUUUCACUUACCAACCUGCAUCCAAGAGGAUGUAGUCUGAGGGAAGACUGAUAUUUCCAAAUGGCAGAGUGCAGAAAGCAUCAGUGUUCGAUAGGCUGGCACUUUCUAAUGAUACUACAACCGCCAUUCCAACAACGAGAGCGUCUUUUAAAAGGAAUAACCGCCGCCAACUCCAUAGAGGAAAGGUUGCUGGGGCCAAGGACAAUAACGUUCAAUAGCCCCAAAUAUCCAAUUGACCGCCAUGUCGUUAAACUGAACAAAUAUAGCCGACAAAAUAAGGCUAACAUGUGCAGUGAGGCCAUCCUCAUUAAACCAUAUAGUUGGAAGACACAUCACUUCUCAAUUAGUCUUAAAAAAAAAAGAAAAAGAAAAAAGGUGGAGGACAUGUUAUUUAAAAAAAAUUUUAGAUAAUAUGAGUAAAAUAUGAGCCACCAGCGGACUUGAUUGUCCAUAUCGGACUUCAAGGGUAAAAUUGUAAAAAGUCUAGACUGUGGUAUAACUCCACAGGCAAAAUUGGGAUCCCCGCUGUGAGAAAACCUUUCAAGGUUCACAGGCAAAAGUUAGGGGAAGGUACAUGGUGAAAACCCAUUAGGGCGCCAAAAUAUCCAAAAUGUAUGUUGCCUAUGAUGGAAUGCUAACUCACCUUAGGGUCGGUUACACGCAGCAAUUUUGAUUGCUUCUUGAGUCAAAAUAAAUAAAAAAAAAAUUCAUGUUCCUUAUUACCCAAAAUAUAUUUUAUCUAUGACGGAAUGCUAACUUACCUUAGGGUUGGUUAUGUGCAGCAAUUUCGAUUGCUUCUCGAGACAAAAUAAAUAAAAAUAAUCCAAGUUCCCUAUUACCCAAAAUAUAUUUUGCCUAUGACGGAAUGCUAACUCACCUUAGGGUCGGUUAUACAUGGCAAUUUCGAUUGCUUCUCGAGGCAAAAUAAAUAAAAAAUAUGUAUUUCCUUGUACAAAAAAAAUAGAAAAAGAAGUGGAGGACAUAUUGUCUAAAUUUUUUAGAUAAUAUGGGUAAAAUAUGAGCCACCAGCAGACUUGAUUGUCCAUAUCGGAUUUCAAGGGUAAAAUUACAAAAAGUCCCGGCUGUGGUAUAACUCCACAGGUAAAAUUGGGAUCCCCACUAUUACAAAACCUUUCAAGGCUCACAGACAAAAGUUAGGAGAAGAUACCUGGUGAAAACCCAUUCGAGUGCCAGAAUACCCAAAAUGUAUGUUGCCUAUGACGGAAUGCUAACUCACCUUAGGGUCGGUUACGCGCAGCAAUUUCGAUUGCUUCUCGAGGCAAAAUAAAAAAAAAAAUCCAUAUUUCCUAUUACCCAAAAUAUAUUUUACCUAUGACGGAGAGCUAACUUACCUUAGGGUCGGUUAUGCGUAGCAAUUUCGAUUGCUUCUUAAAGACAAAAUAAAUCCAUAUCCAAUUGACUGCCACGUCGUUAAACUGAGCAUCCCAUGUCCAAUCGACCGCCAUGUCAUUAAACUGAGCAUCCCAUAUCCAAUCGACCGCUAUGUCGAUAAACUGAGCAGCCCAUAUCCAAUCGACCGCCUUGUCGUUAAACUGAGCAGCCCAUCUCCAAUCGACCGCCAUGUCGUUUAAACUGAGCAUCCCAUAUCCAAGCCAUGUCGUUAAACUGAGGAUCCCAUAUCCAAUCAACCGCCAUGUCACUAAACUGAGCACUUUUAAAUUGACCGCCAUGUCACUAAACUGAGCACAUUCAUAUUGACCGCUAUAUCAUUAAACUGAGUAUUGUUAUAUCGACCGCCUUGUCGUUAAACUGAGCAACAUAUAUCCAAUUGACUGCCACGUCGUUAAACUGAGCAAUCCAUAUUUAAUAGACCGCCAUAUCACUAAACUGAGCACUUUUAUAUCGACCGCCAUGUCACUAAACUGAGUAAUUUUAUAUUGACCGCCACGUCGUUAAACUGAGCAAUCUACAUCCAAUCGACCGCCAUGUCAUUAAACUGAGCAAUUAAAUGCAUAUGGUGCGUGGAUGAUCUAAAAAAAAAAUAAAAAAAUAAAAAAAAAAGUAUGGUCAAAGUAGGGACUGAAAAAAAAAGGGGGUCAAAGUAAGGACUGGAAAAAAAAAGAGUUCCGUAUAGGAAGCUUCAAAAAAAAAAAAAAAAGAGAAGUUUCGUACGGAACCUAAAAAAAAAAGUUUCGUAUAGGAAGCUUCAAAAAAAAAAAGAGAGAAGUUCAGUACAUGACCAUAAAAUAAAAAUAAUAAUAAAAUAAAAAGGAGUCCGUAUAGGACCAAAAAAAAAAAAAAAGAUUACCAUACAGGAACUUCAAAAAAAAAAAAAAAAAAAACCGGUCAAAAAAAAAGUUCCGUACAGGAACUCAAAAAAAAAAAAAAGAAAAAGAAAAAAAAAAAAGAGAAAGAGAGAAGAGUUCGUAAUGGCAGAAAAAAAAAAAAAAUCUUUAACAAAGAAAAGAGGUCUUCUUCGUGACGCACAGAACUCUUAUCGUCAAAAGGUGGGGGAAUUUGUUUGCGUAAAAUACUACUUAUAUAGGAUGAAACAAUCCUAAUCAGAAUAAAAAACGAUUAGAUUCGAGUUCAUACAAUCCUAAUAGGUCUCGUGUUAACCAUUAAAUUUUUGGGCCAAUAAUUAUAGUAAGCCCAUUCAUAAAUGUGAGUUCGUGGGCCUCAUGAAAGCCCAUGCAAAAAAAAGGGGGGGGGGCGGCCUUAUUCCAGCCCAUUAAAUAUUAUCAUUUGGGCCCAAUAAAUUAAAGCGGGUCUGAUCAACGACAGCCCACAUCCACAUCCUAUAAAAUAUCCGUUCGAAAUUCGAUUUCAAAUCACAACCCAUUCAAAAUUUAAUUUCGAAUUUCGAGUUCUCAACCAAUUCCCAAAACAUCCUCCAACAACCCAUUCAAAAUUCUAUUUCGAAUUUCGAAUCCAUAACCAAUUCCCAAAAUAUCAUCCAACAACCCAUUCGAAAUUCGAUUUCGAAUUUCGAAUUCCAAACCAAUUCCCAAAAUAUCAUCCAACAACCCAUUCGAAAUUCGAUUUCGAAUUUCGAAUUCCCAACCAAUUUCCAAAACAUCCUCCCACAAUCCAUUCAAAAUUCGAUUUCGCCUUUCGAAUUCCCAACCAAUUCCCAAAAUAUCCUCCAACAAUCCAUUCAAAAUUCGAUUUCGAAUUUCGAAUCCCUAACCAAUUCCCAAAAUAUCCUCCAACAACCCAUUCAAAAUUCGAUUUCGAAUUUCGAAUUCUCAACCAAUUCCCAAAAUAUCCUCCAACAACUCAUUCAAAAUUCGAUUUCGAAUUUCGAAUUUCCAACCAACUCCCAAAAUAUCCUCCAAAAAAAUAUUUAAAAUUCGAUUUCGAAUUUCGAAUUUCCAACCAACUCUCAAAAUAUCUUCCACAAAUCAUUCAAAAUUUGAUUUCGAAUUUCAAAUCAAUCCUCAAAAUACCCUCCAACCAUCCAAGUUACCCAUUCAAAAUUCGAUUUCGAAUUUUGAAUUUCCAAUCAAUCCUAAAUAUCUUUCAACCAACCACAACAACCUAUUCAAAAUUCAAUUUUGAAUUUCGAAUCCCUGAAAAUAUCUCUCACCACCUCUCCCAUUAUAAAUACGAGAAUCGAGAUCAAUACGGAGGACGAUACGAUUUUAUGGAGAGAAAAAAAAAAGAUAGAUUGCUACACACGUUCUGACGUACAAAAAAAUUCUAAGAAUGAGAGAUCGCCGAGCCGUGGAAAGGAUGAGAGAUCGCCGAGCCGCGUAAAGGAGGAGAGAUCGCCGAGCCGCGGAGAGGAGAGAUCGCCCAGCCGCGAAGAGGAGAUGAGAGAUCGCCAAGCUGCGGAAAGGAGAAGAGAUCGCCAAGCCGCUUCAUCCAAUCUGCCAUCUGCUCAACAGGUAAAGAAAAAAAAAAGAAAAAAGAAAGAAAGAAAGAAAGAAAGAAAGAAAGAAAGAAAACAGAGAAAACAAAAUCAAGCGUAUCAAAAAAUAAUAAUAAUAUAUAUAUAAAAAAAGAUCUCUUUACUUCCUCCCUUCUUUUUUUUUCUUUCUUUGGUCCUGCUAACGUAGUCAUCCUUACCGUCUAGAUGGCUUCGAUGGGAGAGUGGAGGGGAGCAAAUGGCUUCCCGUUUCUUCGGACCUCUCAAUACCCCAUUCGAAGUCGUUGAUGAUGGAAUGGGUGAUCUACAUUGCCGCGACCACCCCAACACCGACGGUUUGAUACUUCGAAAAAAGAGGAGAGGGGAAUCUUUGAUUCCCCGUUUCUUCGGACCCAUCAACAUUUCUUCGAAAAUGUCAGAUCAAAUCCGAUGGCCGAACAGAUCCACGCCAUCGUCAUCAACUUCGUCGACAUCAUCUACAACACCGACGGUUUGAUUCUUUCGAAAGAAGAGGGAAGGGGAAUCUUUGAUUCCCCGUUUCUUCGGACCCUUCAACAUUUCUUCGAAAAUGUCAAAUCAAAUCCGAUGGCCGAACAGAUCCACCCUACCGUCAUCAACUUCGUCGACGUCAUCUGCAGCAUCGUAAGAAGAGAGGAGGGGAAUCUUUGAUUCUCCGUUUCUUCGAACCCCAAAUCAAAAUUAAAAUGGGGAUUUCUUCGGACCCCAAAUUGGAACCAAAACGGGGAUUUCUUCGGACCCCAAAUCCAAAUCGAAAUCAAACGGGGAUUUCUUCCGACCCCAAAUCAAAUCCAAAUUGGAGGAUCAAAUGGGGAUUUCUUCGGACCCCAAAUCAAAGUUAAAACGGGGAUUUCUUCGGACCCCAAAUUGGAACCAAAAUGGAAAUUUCUUCGGACCCCAAAUCCAAAUCGAAAUCAAACAGGAAUUUCUUCGGACCCCAAAUCAAAUCCAAAUUUGAGGAUCAAACGGAGAUUUCUUCGAACCCCAAAUCAAAAUUAAAACGGGGAUUUCUUCGAACCCCAAAUUGGAACCAAAACGGGGAUUUCUUCGGACCCCAAAUCCAAAUCGAAAUCAAACGGGAAUUUCUUCGGACCCCAAAUCAAAUCCAAAUUUGAGAAUCAAACGGGGAUUUCUUCGGACCCCAAAUCAAAAUUAAAACGGGGAUUUCUUCGAACCCUAAAUCAAAUUGGAAAAUUAAAUCCAAAUUGGAGAAUCAAACGGGGAUUUCUUCAGACCCCAAAUCAAAUUGGAAAAUCAAAUCCAAAUUGGAACCAAAACGGAAAUUUCUUCAGACACCAAAUCAAAUCCAAUUGGAGAAUCAAACGGGGCUUUCUUCGGACCCCAAAUCAAAUUGGAAAAUCAAAUCCAAAUCCAAAUCAAACGGAGAUUUCUUUGGACCCCAAAUCCAAAUCGAGAUCAAAAGGAGAUUUUUUCGGACCCCAAAUCAAACCAAAAUCAAAAAGGGAUUUCUUUAGAUCCGUAUCAAGUUGCAAAUCAAGUUCACAUAAGAACCCAAACCAAACCAAAAUCCAAAUAAAAUCCAAACCAAACCAAAUCAAAUCCAAACCCAAAACGAAACCAAAUCCAAAUCCAGUCCACAUAAAAAUCCAAACCCAAAGUCCAAAUAAAAAACCCAAAACCAAAUACAGGCCACAAAUAAACCCAAACCCAAACCCAAACCAAAUACAGUCCACAAAUAAACACAAACCCAAAACCCAAAUCAAAUCCAAACCCAAACCCAAAUCAAGUGUAACACACUGGACCUUUGCAAAUUGCGAGGUUCGAGUGAUUGGAUGUGUUCUGAGUUUUUUCAGACUUUCUGGUGGGUAGUAGACAGUGUUCCGACCUAUGGUUCGAACCCCAAGGAUUGAGGUCUGAAGCCUAGCACCAAAACUCGAAAAAUCAGAUUUUUGGUUAGCUCUCGGGUAGCCUUCAUUGGGCUGUGUACCGGUAUAGGGUUGAUGGCUGUACCGGUACAGGGUUGAUGGUUGUACCGGUACGGGGUUGUGUACCGGUACACAGGCAGCUUUCCAGCCAACCCGAGGUUCGGGUUUGGCAUUUUCGUGGGAUGUGUACCGGUACGUGGGCCCGUGUAUCGGUACGCAGUGACAGAUUUUGAAUGAUCAAAACUGCAGGGGUGUUUUUGCAUUGUGGCUUCCCUAUAAUAGCACCCACGCCCCUAGGGCUGCUCUUUGAGCUUGCCACAGCAGAAAGAAGGUAAGGGGAGCUCCUUCGUGCUUCUCCUUGGUUUUGAUCUUUUUUUUUAGCUUGGAUUAAAGGUUUAAUCUCUCUCUUUUUCCCUUUUGGUGCAAUUCCACCAUGAUUGAAGCUUGGAGCUUGGAUUUGGAGCUUUGUUGAGGGGAGAUCUUUGGACUUGGAGAGUUUAGAGCUUGAUUGAAGCUUCUAAGAGGUAAUCUACUUGUUCUCUCUCUCUAGAUUUGAGUUUUGUUGUUGGAUUUGAGUUGAAACCCUACAAUGGAGACUUAGGGGUUUUUUGGGGCAUUUUGGAUUUAGGGCUUUUGGAGCUUGAUUGUUUGGAUUAGAACCCUCCUUUGGGUUGGAUUGGAAGGAUUCUAGCCUUCUUCGGAGCUUGUGAGAGUUUUCUCCACCUUAGGUGAGAUUUUAGCCCUUUUGCCUUGAUGGUUAAUAUUUGAUCUCAUAGUUGAUCGUAAUGCCCGUGUAUCUCUUCGCUCAUUACUUUUAGGGUUUUGAGACUCGUGGACUACUCCGUUCGGCGAAACGAGGGACUACGUGACGGUUCGGUGGGUUUGACCUAGCCACACAAUGAGAAAAUCUCAUUUGUGAUGAUUUGAGUAUCGUUAAAUGAUAAAGCAUGCAUAAUCAUGUUAGAUAUAUUUAUUAUGAAUUUUAGAAUGCUUAACAUGCCUAUGUAAUGUAUAGUAAAUUUUUGGACCUCUAUGUGGUAGAGUGUAUGCAUGUGAGAUAUAGCAUUCUAGUUGAGACUUGGAACCAUGAUUCCUAUUAUGAAAAUGAACAUUGUUUUCAUGCAUUUAACCUUUAUGCUCAUUUGUGACAUUAGGGACUUUGGAAGCCUAGAGAGGCUUGGGACUUAGACUAUUUGAGAAAUUGGACCAAUGUCAUAAAGAGGUAUUGGGCCCGGGCUAUAGUAAACAUUGGUAUUAAUGUCUUAAAUGGGAACAUAGAACAUGAUUUGGGCUUGAUUAGUUGUGGUGCUUAAGUGUCAUAAAGAGGCACUAAGCAAGUGAGUGUUGAGAUAUCACAUUGUGACAUAGAGCUAGACCGUUGGGUUACUAGUAGCUAUUGCCGUGUUUGAGACAUGAGGGUUAGAUACUUGAGCCUUUGACUACGCUUGCUUGCCAUUUGUGCUCAUUCGCACAUGCUUGUGAGGGUCGCUUCCUACAAGUCGGCACUCCGGAGUUAGCCUACGCGACCUAUGUUCGCGCGUGCAGUAUUGAGAAGCCUACGGGGUCGAGUGGGACGGACACAUUCCAAGAGCAAGAAUGUUGGGCUACCACAGGCACUUAGGCGGCACAAGUUAGACUACCUUGGGUAGGUCCUUAAUUGGAAAUGGAAAUCAACACGGUGUUGAGUGUGUUAUAAUCACUACUAGAUAGAGAGUAGUAGUUGGAUUACUUGGACUUGCUCCUAGCAUAGUGUUGGGCACUUGAGUAUACAUAUGUACAUGUAGCAUGCUAGGAGAUGUUGCUUAUUGCAUUCAUGUAAACAUUGUUUACCAUAGUAGAGCAUGAUCUGCAUAAUUUCAUAAAACAAACCAUGAUUGUUACUCGUGGUCAUGUAGGGACAUAUUUGUUCAUUAUGAUAUAAAGGUGCAUCUUAAUUGACACAAUAUAGUAUCUUAGCAUUUUAAUUAUGCUUUCUUAAAUGCAAAUUAUUCAUUAUUAUUGCUCUCUUUUUGACUUACCCUUUCUGUGGGGCUUAGUGGUGCAUUGAGCUGAGGUCAGUAAUUGCCCAUUGGGAACUAUAAAUUAUAGUUCUUACGCCCUCUGUUUUAUGUUUUCUUUCAGAGCCUUCCACGCCGAGACAGGCUAGGGACUGUGGGAAGGGCGUUGCUUCGAGCUAGCUCUUCAGCGAGAGACGAGUUGAUAAGUGGUCUACCUCUCGAUGUUUUUAUUUUGGAGAGGUUGAGAGCUGUACCAGUGUACUAGAGACCACCCUUUUGUGUACCAUUUUGGACAGAUAUCGUAUAACUAUAUGUUUCACUUUUAUUGCUUUAGUAUUUUUUUCCUUUUACCUUGUUGUAGAUGAUAGCUCUAUUUGUGCUCUGAUAUCUCUAGAUGUUAUUUAUCUUUGGUUUAUUUUUCGCUGUUAAUGUAGACGCCUUAUAUAUGCUGACAUAUGGCGGGUCUGGGCAUGCUACCGGGAGGGCCUCUGCCGGUCCCGGGGCGUGACAUCAAGUCCACAUCCAAACCUAACCCAAACCAAGUCCACAUAAAGAACCCAAACCCAUUCCACAAAUAAAAUCCAAACCAACCCAAACCAAGUCUAUAAAUAAACCCAAAAUUCAAACCGAAACCCGAACCCAAAACCAAAAUCCAAACCCAAUCCAAAUCAAGUCCACAAUCAAAAUCCAAAUCCAAAACCCAAAUCCAACUUCCAACUUAGGCUCAUGAACCUAAACCAUACCUAAGUUCGUGAACCAAAUCCCAAAUCCUAUACCCAAGUUCAUGAAUCAAGUCUCACGGACCAUACAACCAUACACCAAGUUCAUGAACCAUGAACCAUAAGCCAAGUUCAGAAACCUCAUCCAUGAACCAUAUCCAAGUUCAUGAACCAAAUCCCAUACACCAAACCUCAUAAACUAAACUUAUAAACCAUACACCAAGUUCAUGAACCAUGAAUCAUGAAUCAUGAUCCAAGUUCAUAAACCAAACCAAACCAAAUCUCAUGAACCAAAUCCCAUGAACCAUAUACGAAACCUCAUGGACCAUGAACCAAACCAUACCUAUGUUCAUGAACCAAGUCUCAUGAACCAAAUUUCAUGGACCAUACACCAAACCUUAUAAACAAUAACCAAAGUUCAUAAACCAAAUCCCAUCCCAUAGACUAUAUACCAAGCCUCAUGAACCAUACACCACAUCCCAUCCUAUGAACCAUACACCACAUCCUAUCCUAUGAGCCAUACACCAAACCAUACCCAAAUCUCAUGGACCAUAUCCAUGAACCAAACCUCAUGAGCCAAUAUCCAAAUCUCAUGAACUAUAUCCAUGAACCAAAUCUCAUGAGCCAAUACUCAAAUCUCAUGAACCAUAUCGCCUACCCCUAAUACAUAGGGCUAAGUCAAUCGCCUUAGUACAUAUAACUAAGGCAAAAUAUCUCCAAAAUCGACAGAGUUCUAAACUAUAUACUUAGAAUUCAAUCACAUGAUAUCAAGUUCAUUCGAAUUCUAACACAUAUACUUAGAGUUCAUCCGACUAACCCUAAUACAUACCCUUAGGGUCUGGUCAACCUUUUACUCUAGCACAUAUACCUGGAGUGGAAGUCAAACCAAGCUCAACUAGUCUUAACACAUAGACUUAGGGCCUAGUCAGCCUUUUGCUCUAGCACAUCUAUCUAGAGUGAAAUCCAUACCCGAUCGAGCUCUAAUACAUAUACUUAGAGCUUAUGCAAAUCAAAUCCGACGAAACCUAACAUAAUACCUCGGGGCUUAGUCAGAUCCUCACUCUAUAUAACUAGAGUGAAAAAUAUAUUAAACUUGGUUAAUCUUGAUAUAUACACUCAGGAAUUAGCCACUCUCUACUUUUGGAUAAUAUCAAAUCCGACCUACCUCAAUACAUAUACUUGGGGUUUGGUCACUCUAAGACAUAUACUUAGAGCCAAUUAGACUCUAAUACAUAGAAUUUAAUAUCGACUAGGUCUUAACACAUAUACUUAGGACCUAGUCAAUUUCAAAUUCAACUGAAUCCUAAUACAUAUACUUAGGAUUCAAUAAACCAAGAUAUGAUUCAUUCAAUCCCAUCUAUAAAGGUCUCUUAAUUGAAGGUGCCCCAAUCUACAGGGGGUAAUUAACAAUAGAUGCUUGCAUCUAUUGGAAGCCAUAGAUCCGCAAUACCUGAUACCCACAUACAUAUAGAUACUCAUCUGAAUCAUGAAUACUACCCCACGGCCUAAAAUCCAUCGACCGUGCGGGGUGCGUCAUUCGUGGUGGCAGACACUGCCGUCACAGCCUACCGCACCUUUGACUUAACCAUCUAGUGGCGAACUCAUCGCAUCGAACCCAACAACGACUCAAGUCAUGACUUAGCCAUCUGGUGACGAACUCAUCGCAUCAUACCCAACAAUGGUUCAAGUCGUGACUUAGUCAUCUGGCAACGACCACAUCGCCCUUACCCAGCAAUGGUUCAAGUCAAUCUAGGCGGCAUCCAAUAAGCUAAAUGGGCGAGGAGAACCACACAUACCCAAUUCGAGCUUAUUCUCAUGGCAUCCCGGGUGAGGACAACAACACAUACCCGUUGAAUCACUGCCAGGCGAGGAGAACCACACAUACCUUCAGUUAUGAUUCUAUUUGCCAUCUCUUUUACCACAAGUUCCCACCGCUUCUUUUGCGGCCACCUCACUAGGAAUUCCAGAAUCCACUUCACAUAACUCAAGGGUUAGCCUCAAACCCUAUAGUAUUGACCUAUCUAGGUCCAAUGUCCUUGUCACCCUUGGUCCAACUGACUCUAGGCUUAAUACCUCUAUCACAUAACUUAGGUUUACUUUAACUCUAGGCUCAAUUCUCAACCUAUGUUCUCGACACUAGGUUAAUGCCACACACCUAGAUUUAAUUAACUCUAGGUUCAUUCUCAACCUAUGUUCUUUAACACUAGGUUAGAUGCCACUCGACCUAUAUUUAAUAACACUAGGUUCAUUGUCAUUCAUGUUCAACCUAUGUUUAAUACACUAGGUUAAGUGCCACUCGAUCUAUUCGACAUCCUAAUUGUCCACAUCGAGUUCAAUAGAUAUCCACAUUUUAUCUAGCAUGCAUUAUAUAAUGCCAAUAUGCAUAUUCUUUCUAACAUGAUCUCAUAGCUCCAAAAUGCUCCUAGUAUUUAUUCUUCUACUUGUUGUAAAAUAUUUUUAAAUUCAUUUCUAAGCUAAAUGGAAUUUAUAUGAAUUUUAGAGCACUUAAAAUGCAUGCCUUGUGUAUUAUGAAAAUUUUCCUAUAUAGUAGAGCGAAAUGAGUAGAAUGCAUGCAUACGGGAGAAGUGUUUAUUUUGCAAGCGGAAAUUACACCUCUUAUGAGGGUUAUGACUUGGAAUAUGUACUUGGGAACAUAGUUGCCAUGCUCGGGCAUAGAGAACAAGAGUGUCAUCAGGGGGCACUUGAAACUAGUAAACUAUGAAACUGCAAUAUAGAGAUAUAUUGAUAGGCCACUACAUAUCUGCUAUAUUCCAUGUUAGAGACAUGAUGACAUAGGGAUAGGCCAUUGGGAUACUUGACACAUUCCAUGUUAUUUGACAUGAGGACUUGGUACUUGCGACAGAUCGUUUGACUACUUGCCAUUGUGCUCAUUCGCAAAUGCUUGUGAGGGUCGCUCCCUACAAGCCGGCACUCCGGAGAUAGCCAUCGCGAUUCAUAUUCGCCGUGCGGGAUUGGGCGCCGAAGUGGAUUGCCGCGGGACAGGCUCAUUCCUAGGGUGGGGAUGAUGACUACCACGGGGCCAUUAGGCUCGGCACCGGCUAGACAGCUUACGGGUGGGUCUCAGGGCCGUAGACAGCCUUCGGGUGGGUCUCUUCAGAUUUGACUUUGAGUAUUCAUUAUGACAUGGGGACAGAUGAUGACUUAGUGUACUACUUGGACAUUAACUAGAAUAGUAAACAACGGAACUUUACUAUUUCGCAUUGUGAACAUUAUGAUAGUUGGAGACUUUUACUUCAUGCAUAGUUGCUUUAUACUUAUGCUAAUUAUGCUAAGAAGAGAUAUCAUGUUGUAGUAAGUUAUAUUUUUAUUUACCUUUCGCUUUUCUACCUUUAUAGUCACUGACAUCUUUUGUAACUUUGGGCCUUGUGGUGCAUUCACUGAAGUCAGUAAUUGCCCACUGGGAACUAUUUUAAUAGUUCUCACGCCCCUGUUUUAUGGUUUACUUUUCAGAGCCUUCGGCACCGGCGGAGGCACGGGUCGCGGCAAGGGGAUCGCUUAGCUAGCUAGCGAGGAGCGGUACUUUGCCUAGGUGGUUUACUCUUUCUUUUUUGUAGUUGAGAGAGUGAGAGGUUUUUGUAUCCAUGUAUAGAGACCACCUAUGUAUCUACCUAUAGCACUUGUAUCCGGAAUUUUCUUGUAUCACUUUAUGUCUUAUUUAGUGGAUUUACAGUUUUAUCCUUAUCUUUUGUUGUAGCAUUUAGACAUUUAUUAUGCUCUAAUACUCCUAGAUGUCUUUUACUAUUACUUUUAUU